Molecule: long non-coding RNA, 53240 nt
Filed under: Coffea arabica (coffee)
Lineage: Eukaryota; Viridiplantae; Streptophyta; Magnoliopsida; Gentianales; Rubiaceae
Description: long non-coding RNA (CARA_LNC003550)
Source: RNAcentral
AUAAAUAGAAAUAGAAAGAAUCAAAAAUUGGGGGAAAAAAAUAUACAACGUUUAUAUAUCAGUAUGUUACUGUUACAUUGCCCUGUCGUGGUCCCAAGAAAUCAUCAAGCUUUGUCCCACUGUCCAAACCAACGGCUACAUUCUACCCAACUGGAAAUUACCAGAUUUAGUUGAAGUCCACAAAUUGCUAGCUUGUAAAGGACCAUUUGUCCCUGCUUAGACACACCUCACAACCAAUAAAAAAUAAAAUACCACCAUUACACGUCUUUCAAAGCCUUAUCCCCGCGAUCAAUGGUAGCUAUUCAGAUCGAUGAAAGCAGAAUUGCUCUUGAUCAUUGCCACGUCUGCUCUAAUGAGUUGGAUCCCACGAUCCCUCCAAUCCUCCUACCUUAAAUAACACCUCAGAUUAAACCACUCUCCAGCGGCUGUUCACAUAUUUUUCAGAAGCCCACCUGCUCAAUCUAGAAACUCUUUUGCCUGCCUCUGUUUCUCUUCCCUGCUCUUGCUUUUCAAGAAAUGGGGAGCUUUGAGCAGAAAGUGAAGGAAAGGGCCAAGGAAUUGAAGAUCUUUUUCAAGAAAGGGGUGAAGAUUGUUGGAGAUUCAUGCAAGAAGGGAUGGUACAAGCUCAAGCACAUUAGGAAGAAAUGAUUUCAGGGAUUUUGUUCUGUCUCAGCCAAAAAAUUGUUUACGUUUUCUUUUUCUGCUUCUGACAAUUUUUUGGGUUAAUUUACCAGUUGAGUUUUGUUUAGUUGUGGUAGGUGGUUUUGAUACAUGUAAAGGGAGUUUGGGUAAUUCUUGUGGUUUCUUUUCAUCUUUCAAUUUGUUACAACUACCCUCAAUCCUUGAGCUUGAGUUGCUUUUUACUAUGUUACAAGAUUGAUUGAGAUUCAUUAACUUUGUUGCUGUACCCCUUAGGUGAUGUGAUGAUGUAUUUUGUGGUUUAUCCAUAUUGCUAGGAAAGACAUGGAACAGGAAAUCUAUUACAAUCAAAUUCAUCAAAAUUGAAAAGCAGAAAGAAUGGUUUUGAUUUUGAAUUGAGAUGGCAAAGAAAUUUAAAUCUUUAUCAACUUGGCAAAAAAAAAACAAAAUCUUGAAAUUAAGUUGAAUUCCUUGUAGUUAAAAUAUGAGAAAGCCAUUGGGAACUCUAAUAUAGAGAGAAACAACAUCAGUAGCAUAGCAAAUUUACAAUUUUCUAGUACUCUUUCUGCUUUUUAUUUCUCUGUUUUGAUUCAUUGCCUGGUCCAGACAACUAGACUCUUCUAGCUCAAGCAUACCAGUUUAACAACAGAAGCUUGUACCUGGAAUUUAAUUUGCAGCCAAGAUCAAAUUUGCAGGAAACCCUGUUCAGUUCGUUCUGCCCUUAACAAUUUCUUGUGUUAUUCAUAAACAAAAAUUUCUCUCGGCGCUUGUGUACUCGGAUCCAGGCGCAGUAGAACUCUCAUUUGACAGCAGUGAAUACUAUGUUUAAACAUCCCCAGCCUGUUAAAAGUAUUCUAGAUUGUGAGAAAUUAAGAUAAACUUUUAAGUGUGUCUAACAAUUGAGCAAAUUGGAGUGGUUGUUAAGCUGUUGCAGAAAAUGAAUUGUUUGUAUCUUUGUUUUUUUCUAAGGAAUGGUUUGUAACUUUACUUUGUCAGUGUAAAAAAUUUCUCUUUUUUGUCAUGUUAGCAAGUUUAAAUUUGUUUUCUUUUUUGGUCAAGAUGUUAGCAAGUGUAAAUGCAUAGAGUAAAAGUAGAAUUUUAUCAUCUACUCUAGCUAAUGAAAAACCCCAUUGCUCUUUUUCUCCCUCAUUUUAUCCCUCUUUUUUCUCCUCAUUGCUUUUCAAAUCCCACAUUUCCUCUUCUUUGGUAAGAUUUUUCUUUUAAAGUACUACUAUUUUCUAAUUGAGAUGCAUGACAUCUUUUGACUUAGUUAAAGCAUUGUUUAUUUUUUAUUUUUUGGUCGAGGGGUGACUCCUUAUUAAAAUAAAGUAAGUAAUUAAAGACAAACUUGAAAAAUCUCUCCUUACCUGAAUUUUAGUUGUGCAGGGUGAUUGGACAUAAUUUACCCCUUAUGUACAUGUUUAUGUGUUUCAUCAGAAAGACGAAAAAAAAUCAAAGAAAAAGUAUUUUUUUUUAUCAGCAACGAUAUAUUUGUAUAACCUACUCUAUCCUAAUCUAGGGGGAGGGGAGCCUAAAGAAGCUGUUGUAGGAGUUAGUGGGUAUACAGAUUCAAUUAGACCAAUGGAAUGUUAUGACACAAUCUUUAAAUUUUUUUCGCUACUUGUGAGGUUUGAACUCUCACCAACAGCCCAAGGAGGGACUAAGUCCGUCCCUGGUGGCCACUGAGCCAUUGGCCCAGUGGUUCCAAAGAAAAAGUAUGGCUCAGUGGCUCCAAAGAAAAAGUACUUGUGCGUUUGAAUCUUAAUUUUAAGUUUCUCUUUUAUUCUUAGACAGUCCCACUAUGAGGGGAUUUGUACAUACAACAUUUCAAGACCAAGAAGUGAAGUAUCUUGAUUGGAUUUUUCCAAUUAAGAUGCAUUAAUCAAGUCUCACUAUGAGGGGAUUUGUCCGAAGUUUGGGAAGUCAUUAUAAGGGGUUUCAUCCAAAUUUCGGAAAAAAAAAGAGAAGAAAUCAGUAGGCUGGAAGAUCAUAGGUUUUUCUAACUUCCAUGAUUUGCUGCUUGAAUUUGUAACAAGGCUAUGGUUUAUAUUUAACAUUACCAAACUUGCAAAUAAAGACAUAAAUUCACCAAAGUUACAAAUAAAAAUAAUAUGUUUUUUGAGGAAGAAUAAUAAAGAACUAAUCUUGUUUUGCAGUGCUAUGUAGUUGUGAUGAAGAUGAAUGGAAUAUAAAUUGUAGGGAAAAAUGGUGGACUGGGCAGUAUAGCGUACGUAGCAUGUAGGUCAUUGCAAACGAUAACUUUUUGUGAAUAUGAAGGUAUAGGAAGAAAGUAGGUAACUGGAAGAGUGUCAUAUACAGGAUGGGUAUUUGUGAUUUGAAUGAAGGGUGUUAACCGGUGAACUAUACGUUCAUUGAUGAGGUGUCACAAUUUUGUUAACAGUCAAUGAACUAAAUGUGCAUAAAACAACAGCUUGGCAAAGUGAUGCUCAUUGAGUACUCGCUGAAAGGGUCUCAAGUGUUAAUUUUUUUAAAAAAAUAUAGUUCAUUCGGAAAAGUAUUAAAAUUCAUGCGGUGCAAUAAAUUUCAGUAUAUGUAUUUAAAUGGUAAUUUAGUUAUGAUUUAAGUGUCUUAAAAAAGUGGGCAGCUAUUAGAAAAAUCCAUAAAACAAUCAUUCUUAAUAUAUCUAUUUUAUAAAUAUAUACAUAUAUAUAUAUAUAUAUAUAUAUAUAUAUCUUAGUUCAUAAAACAACAGUUUGGCAAACCGAUACUCAUUGAGCACUCGCUAAAAGGGCCUCGAGUGUUAAUUUUUUUAAAAGGUGUAGUUCAUUCGGUAAAGUAUUAAAAUUCAUGUGGUGCAAUAAAUAUUAGUAUGUGUACUUACAUGGUAAUUUAGGUAUGAUUUAAGUGUCUUAACAAGCGGAUAGCUAUUAGAAAAAUCCAUAAAACAAUCAUUCUUAAUAUUUCUAUAUUAUAUAUAUAUAAUAAACGUUAUUUAUAAUUAUUUGUGCAGGACUUUAAUCUGGCCGAGCCUAAUAAAAUUUAUGUGUAGUUUACAUUUAAUUCGAGCCUUAUAUUUAGCCCUGCAUUCUACAUAGCCCAAUUAAACAUAGAGUGUGAUUGGAUAGGAGAUUAUUGGAGAUAAUUUUGUGAAAAAAAUACUGUAGAACUUCUUUAAUGGAGGAAACUUCUCAGACAUCCUCUAAACUGAGGAAACUUCUCAGACAUCCUCUAAACUAUCGCAUUUGCACGCUUUUGACCCUUCAACUAUAAAUUGUCACAAAUAAGCCAUUAAAUUAAAAAAAUACUUACUUUAAGGACUUCCGACAAUUUUGGUUGUUAGAAGUGACGAAAUUAGGGGCAAAACAGAUCAAACAAAAAAAUCAACCCACAAAAACAGCCUAAAAGGCCUCAUUGAAUGAUCAUUUCAUCAAAUUAGGGCCGGAAAAGAUGGAAGAAUAUGAAGAAACAUUAAAUUCUAUAUUAUUAGUUGGCUUAAUAUACCUAGUUUUUAAUCAAAUCAUGAGUUGAUUUAUCUGUUUGGUCGGUUUUGCCCCUAAUUCCAUUACAUUUAACCCCCAACAUCGAUGGAUUUAUAGCUGAGAAGCCAAAAUCGUGCAAAAUGAAUGGUUUAGAAACCUGUUAGAAAGUUUUCUCUUUUAAAUAUAACGUACGUGAAAUAAAAAAUAGUUAAAAAAUUUAUUUAUGAUGCAAGUAAAUAAAAUUGUGCAUAUAAUAUAAUGAUGUCCCUUUUGGUCAAUUGAAUCCAAACAUUUUGAUCAAUUGAAUAAGCUAAAGCAACAAAUAGCAAAUAAAAAAAUAAUCACAAAUCCAUGAUUAUAUCUCAUUCCCAAUUCACCCCAACAUUUUCACAAGCGUACGGGAAUCGGAAUCCUCUCAACAAAAUCCGAAUCUUACAUCCCUUUUAAUCACCUCCACUCCACUCCACCAUACUCCAACAAAACCCCCUCUAUCCAACCAUUUAUCACAUCUCACCAUCCAUUUUCAAAACGUCAACCUAUUCAACGGCUGAUCCAGAGCACAACCCAACUCCAGCCUUGACUUCGGUGUGUAUCUUAUCCAACCCAGCUUAAACUUAAUCCAAAAAUUCAGACAAAAAAAUAAAUAAUAAUUUUUUCUAUCAAAAUUCUGUUAAUUGUCGUUUCAAUUGUCCGUCGCCUUUCUCCCUCCCAACUAAAACUUUCGCGCUUUCUCUCUCUAGAAUUCUCCCUCUACCUAUACAUACAAAUUAUUUGUAUCUCUAUAACGUAAACGGAAUUCAAAUUUAUCCGAAUUAUUAUCGAACUUCUGUUAGAUCUGCGAGUUCACAGUAGUUUUUCCGGUUAAUUGCUUCGUCUUUAUUGCUUUAUCCAUUUUUUUUAAUCUAAAUUUUUACUUCGAUAAAUGGAGAUGAUGACAAUGGACGAAUCGCUUGUUCUGGAAAUGGAAAUUUACAGCUGUUAUGGAGUUGAAGUUGCUGAGGAUCGAAUAUGUCGAGGAAUUUUUCAGAUAGCUAUAGGACAAUCUAAGCCGCGAAGUUGUAAGUUUAGGGUUUUCUGAAGAAUUUCAGUAGUAGAUUCUGUUAAUUAGGGUUUUAGUUCAUUUUGUUGCUUUUGAACUUGAAUUGAAGUGAAAAUUAGUUAGUUUCUGCUGCUUUGCUGAUUACCGUGAUCAGUUUCUGGUGCUUUGCUGAUUACGGUGAUCUAUUUGACUGUGAUUUGGAUGAAAUUGAAAACAUUUUCGCGAUUGGAGUUUGGUGGAUGUUGAAUUUAUGAAGACCAUGGGGAGCUUGGAUUUUGUUAAUUCGACAUUCAAUUUCAAGGAUUAAGCUAUUAUAUUUGUGGUUGUAAUAUAGAAUUCAGCCUUAUUGGGCAGUAACACGGGUAUAUGUUGAAUAUUUUGCUCAGAGGAUUUCGUAGGAUUGGGUUAGCUUUUCUUAUAUCGUAUUUGGACUAAAUGGCCUUUUGCAGUGGUGGGGUUUUCAAUUUGUAUAGUGAAGGGUUUGCUUGUAGAAAUUGAGAAAGUUUGGAGUUCCUUUUUUUUUUUUUUGGGUGGGGAAAGGGCUGACCUUAGGCAGACUGAAGUUUGUUAAAGUGUAAUGGCGGGAAGGAAAGAAGUUGGAUUUCUGAAUGCAAGUGGUGUUAAUUUGAAAGAGCAAUUGGCUAGGACAACGUUGCGUAAUGCAAGACUUCAAGGUCAUACAUAUGUUGAUCUUAGGAAAGAUGGUAAAAAAUCAAUUUUCUUCUGUACUUUAUGUUUGGCACCCUGCUAUAGUGACUCGAUCUUGUACAAUCAUUUAAAGGGUAGUCUUCAUUGUGAAAGGCUUGCUGCUGCUAAGGCUACUCUGUUGAAGCCCAAUCCCUGGCCAUUUGAUGAUGGUGUACUGUUCUUUGGUGAUUCUUCUGAACGGGAUGAGUUACCUGUAUCGAAGCGUGAUAAUCUUCAGUUGUUAGAUAAUAAUGAUUACGAUGAAAGCAGUCUUGCUAUUGUUAGUUAUCAUGAGCACCUCCAAAAUAAUAGCAAUGGCCAUGCAUCUCAUGAUGAUAUUGGGUUUGGGAAGAAUCCAGAUUCUGUUGGUGCUGGCACCGCUCUUUAUAAUAGUCCCUCUCCGACCAAUCUGACUGACGCUUUCUGCAGUCAAUUGGUUAUUCCAGGUGUCCUUUGUAAAGAUGAAGUGUCUCAAUUAGAAGUUUCAUAUCUGGGUGUUGCCCAAAUUGCUGCUCGAUUCUGUGAGAAGAAUGGAAUUAUAAAUGAAAUCCGAAGAAUAUGGUGUGAGUGGCUUGGAAGAAAGGAUUGUGAUGGAGAGGAUACCCUGAUGGUUUUAGAACAUGAUUUUGCUAUAGUUACAUUUCCUUAUAGCUAUAAUUUAGGCCGAAAGGGGUUGCUUGAUGACCUAAAGUACUUGCUUCCACCCAGUCCUUAUUCAGAAUCUGAGGAAAAUGGUGGCGGAAGGAACAGAAAGAGGAAGUCAUUUUCUGAUCCAGAGGAUGUCAGUGAGUCUCUGGCUAAUCAGUAUGACUCUUCUGGUGAAGAAUCUCAGAAUUCAAAUAGUUGUAACAAAAAAUUGCUGCUAGAUGGGUAUGAUGAUCAGCUUCUGCAUUCAAGAGUAUUAUCAAGCAAAACUCUGAGGAAAGAAUUGAGGCGCCAGCAGCAAGUAGCUUCUGAGAGAAUGUGUGACAUUUGUCAACAGAAGAUGCUGCCAGGCAAAGAUGUGGCCACGCUAUUGAAUAGGAGCACUGGAAGGCUCGUUUGCAGUAGUAGAAAUUUGACUGGAGUAUGAUCUCCAAUCUUUUCAACUUGGUUAUGUUCAGCAGACAUUUUCCUGUAUCUUUUGGAACUUAUGCUUUUCAUUGAGCUAUAGUUCCUUGUAAAGGUGUUCAUUUACACAGUCACUGUUCUUUACUGCAGGCAUUUCAUGUAUUUCAUGUUUCUUGCCUCAUUCAUUGGAUACUGCUUUGUGAGAUGGAAAUCUAUGCAAAACAGUUUGAUGCAGCCAAAACAAAAAGGAGACCAAGACGAAAAGCUGGAACCAAGCAGAGUGAGUCUGGGAAGUUUAGCGAGAUAAAAGGCAUAAGAAAGCAAAUAUAUUCCUCUUUCUGCCCAGAAUGCCAGGGCACUGGUGUGAACAUUGAUGGGAAUGAGCUGGAGAAACCUACGGUGCCUCUUUCUGAGGUUUGUGACUCAGGACUGAUCUUUUUAUUAAUUUCUGAAACUGUAGGGAAGAAGCCGAACAAAAAUAACAACCUGCAAAUUGACUGUUAUUUCCCUGUUGUGGAAUGGGAAAAUAUACAGGCAAAGGCAACAGACAGUAUCUUUCAUACUUGUUCUGAAUAUAUUCAUACUUAAAUUGUUGGUUGCUGUUCUUCAUCUAGUUUCCUUUAACCUUGAAGUUCCUGUGUGUAUAGAUGUUUAAAUACAAGAUUAAAGCAAGUGAUGCCCAUAGAGCAUGGAUGAAAAGUCCUGAGGUGUUGCCCAAUUGCUCGACAGGAUUUUACUUUCCUGCCCAGUCUGAAGAUAUGUAUGAGGUGGGACAUUUUGGACCAGAAAUAUUUUGCUAUAAAAAUAUUAAAUGAGCUUCCUUUACCCUUACUAUAUGCUUGUUUCAGAAAAUAUCUUUAGAUCGCUAUCUGAAUAUUGUUGCUGGGAAAGUAUGUUCUUGGAUGAUGAUUCAUUUUCACAUUUGUCUGUUGCCAGGAAAAGGUAUCACCACUUAAGUUGCUUCACUUUUAUCGUGCAAAAUGACUGAGCUGAACCUGCCUUUCAAGAGCCAGAGGAUCGUUCUGAAACACUUGGCAAUUUGACGUUUUAGUUCUUGUAACCUCUGUAAUCUGUUGUAAAUGUCAUGAUUCUGAUGUUAAAAACCAUUAGUGCUUCAGAAGUUUCAGUUGCUAGAAUAGGGGUACCUUUCUAGAUCUUUUACCGGUAGCCUUGUAUAUUGGUGGCUUGUUAUCACUGCAUUUGACAGCUUUACCUACCUGUGUAUAUUACCGCCUUGGAAAUGGUGAUUCAGAAUACAUGCAAAUGCUCAGGUCCUCAUUUCCUUUGUUUUUCUUGGUGAAAAAUGAAUCUCUUUUCUUAGAUUUUGUUGUCAUUCAUCGUAAAGCAUGCUUAGAAGUUGUUGAAGAUGGGUAGUUAGAAAACUAUCAAUUGGCUACGUGGUUAUAUUCAAGUGUAUAUAGCAGAGACCUCUUCCAGAUAUCUUGAUGAGAAGCUAUCACGCAUUAUCUGAGAAAUCAAUUAAUUUAGUUGCAAAGUUCCAUUAACUGCACAGUAACGAUUCAAAACAACAUUCCUUCUCCAAAUGAGAAAUAUUAUGCAAAUCAAAUGAAAUUGUGCUACAAGUGAACAACUUCUUCGCUGUGAAAAAGAAAAUCUAUUGCACAAAUGGAGAAUCAGAAGAAGCAACUCAACAACUUGGCAACAUUAAGCUGGGGACAUGGUCAGUGUUUGGGCUGGAAGUGAAAACGGGUGCAGUGAACCAGUGGUGGAGGAAGCCCAUGCAAUUAGAACAGCUCUUAUCAAAGCUAAACAGAUGGGAUGGAGAAGCAUAUUCAGUCUGACCGCAAGAGUGUGGUGGAAAAGAUCCAAAAUGAAUGUGCAGAAGACCCAAUGAUUGAACCAAUACUGGAAAAUAUACUAAAGAUCAGACAGGUUUUGUGAAUGUUAGUUUUCCUUUAUCAAAUGUGUGUGUUUGGACAGUAGAUUAUUUGAGAUAAUCUUUGGAAAAAAUACAGUAGCAUUUUUUUUAUGUGAUAUAUGUGAGAUAAAAAUGUGGUAAAAAAUGUGUUGAUGAUGCACACAAAUAAAUUUUUACAAAUAAGUAACCAUCCAAACAAACGUCCAAAAAUGAUGUAGGGGCAGUUGCUCCAGUUGUGCAAACUUUCUUGUUUGAGCAAUACAAGUGCUGUUAAAACAAAAAAAAAAAAACCUUUGCAACGUACUCUUACCUGCGAAAGCUUCUACAGAGAUGCUGUCGGUAAAAGAACCUAACUAUGUCCCAGGGACUGAAGGGGAGAGGCAAGAGCAAGUGUUAAAGACAUUUGCUUAGAAUACCAGUGCAAUAUAUUUUGUCGUUGAAGGGACAUCUUUAGGCUAAUUGCUUAAUUUAUUUUACAUUAUAUCAGGAUGUAUGUUCGAAAUUGAGCUCUGUGUCCCCAAAAAUGUCUUGUUCCGAAGUCUCGGACUCUUCCUCAGCCUGAUAAAGUUCUUGGAAAGCUGGAUCUCCCUUUCUAAUGUACCUUGAAAUCACGUCCUUGAAUUCUGCAGAAAACUCACAUCGCUUAAGCAACCUUAACAUCUCCUCAGCUCCAGCAAUAUCUCCUUUUUUUUUCAAGUACCGCAGACAGGAAGCCAAAACAGGAAGAUCAGGUUCCCAACCUGCGACACCAGCAGCAAUCGAUUUUUUUGUCAUCUCGACUGUAUUUUCCAUCUGAUUAGUUUUGUUGUAACCCUGUGCCAUACGACUCCAAGUGCUCGCAGUUGGCUCAUUUCCACUGUCCACAAGUCUGCUGAUAAUUGACUCUGCUCUUUCUAUAUGGCCUUUCUUGCAAAAUGCAGUAACAAGCAAAUCUGGAAUCCUAAUGUCAAAAUAUUCCUUGUUAGCUAGCCAUUCAUCUAACAUCUUAUCUGCACCAUCAAGAUCAUCCAAUUUCAACAGACAACUUAUAACACAAAAACAACUCCUAUUAUAGAUCUUCCGAGGUUUCUUGUACAGAUUCCAUAAACGGAGUACCUCAUCUUUUCUUCCCAUAGUAGCAUAAAGAGUUAGUAGAAACUCAUAGGCCUGACCAGCUUUUUCAUCUGCUUUAUUAUGUGCUUUUGAACGUCUUCGACCAGUUGCUUUUGCUUGCUCGAUUAAUCUCUCAGCUUUCUUUAACACCACUUCAGCCUUCUUAAAGUCACCGGCUUUCAAAUAUCCAUUGGCUGCAAUCACAUAAGAAUUCCAUUGCAUUACAAUAACAGGAUCUGCUUCCAUCCUCAUUAGAAGUUUCUCCAUUCCCACUAUGUCAGAUCCCACAACACAUGCGUUCAACCAGAUGUUAUAUGAGAAAUUGUCAAAAGGAAUGCCCUUGCUAUCCAUUUCUUGCACUAGAGAAUCUAAUUUCUCCAGCUUCCUUGUCUGAACGUACAAUGUCAGCAUAGCACUGUAAGACAGCGUCUUAUUAUAUCCCAACUGCCUCAUCUUCUGCAUCAUUUCCUCUGCUUUACGCAAUGACUUAAAUUUAACAUAACAAUUCAAAAGAGCACCAUGCGUUUGAAUGACUCUUAAAUUGUCUGGCAGCCUCUCAAAAUAUUUUUCUGCUUGCUCAAGGCCAUGGACUUUGGCUAUCAGAUCUAGAUGAACUGCAGCAUCUGCAGGUUUUAGUUUAGAAUGUUGAAUGCUAUUGAUCCAUUCAGAAACCUGUCCCAAAAAUCAUUACAGCAUUCUUUAGCAAGAAACCCAAUUAACCACAACAUGCCAAAAAGCUCCUGCUAAUAACGAGUCCAGGAAGUGCUGGGUAAGUUCACAAUUUUCUCUCUAAAGAGUAACUAUCUCCAUCUAUAAAUAGAUCUUUCAAAGUGCUAUUGAAGAAUAUUAUCAUGAACGAACUGCAAAUAUAUCACCAAAGCCUGAAAGGAAAGGUUAUCAAGGAGAAAGAUAAAGGCCGCCAUCACCUCAGCAAAGAAAAAAUCCACCUCUUUCUAGUCUAUGAUGAAUACUGUGACUUUCUGUUGUCUUCUUUCAGGACUUAUCAAAAUAGAGGAUGACCUAAGUAACAAUAACCAAUCCUUCAUAGGAAUUCCAAAUCAUACUAAUGCUCAUGUUAGAACCACAGAAAAUACCAAAUGAAUUUCAAUUUGUAUUUACAUAUAUAUGCUUGAGCUCACGAGUUCAACCCUGUACCUAUUACCUCAUCUCAUUCAAUCUGCGAGUUAUGAAGAGUAACCACGCAAUUUCUAUUUUUUCUAGGAAAUUACAGUCAAUUUCGAGCAAAACAAUCAAUCAUGAUUUUCAUUAUAUAGCAAAGAAUGAGAAAACGAACAAAAAAGAACCCAAUACAAGAUGGUUGUGCAAUCCUGCUUUUUUCGUAAAAUUAAGAGUAAAUGUAUCAUGAGGCUGAUUAGACAAAAAAAAAAAAAAAUUUAAGAGAGUCAAAAAAAAAAGAAGAAAAAAAAAGACAAAUCAGCAUGCAGCUUUCCAUCCAUCUAGCAUCACAAUCAUGUAAAGAACGUCCAGGUAAUUCCAGAAUAAAAUCAACCCACUGAAAAGUUUAUUUUCCACUUAAGCAUCUCCCAGGUACAUGCCACAGAUCAUGAACAAAUUAAGGAAAUAUUUCACAAAGUUUAAACCAACACAGUUUAAGUACAGUAGAAACAAAGCAUUUACAUUAGACAAAUAUCAAAAGAUAGUCACUAAACUCAUCCAUCCACCACACACACACACAAAGAAGUAAGAGGCGCUACAGCAUUUUACAAAUUAAAAUAAACCCAGUUCAAAUUUGGUCAAAAUAAACAUUGCCAUACGAAAAAGAGGAAAAAAAUAGAACAAAAAAAAAAGAGUAAUUAAGUAUGGUACCCGGAGGGCAUAGCUGUAACGUUUAUAAGAUCUGAAGGAUUUGAUAAUAAUUCUGACAUUAUCAAGGUCUACUUCUCUACCUUCAUCCACCCAUUUCUGAAGUACUUGAGGGAUGGAAUCUUUAGGCUUACGCACACGCACGAGCCUGGCAAAAAGUGAAUCCUUUGGGACAGAUUCUGAGGAAUCAGGCGAUGAUGGUGAUGAUGUUGGUGAGGGAACAGCAGUUGCAGUGGAACAGAAGAAUGACAAUGGCCCAAGAUUUCUAUCUAUUGAAAAAUAGUUCUUGAUUUUGGUUACAGGGUUUAAGGAAGAAGGAGAAGUGAAAGAACGAAGGAGGUUUCUGGCCAUCAUAGUGUUUUCCUACAUUAGCAAUUGCCAACUCUUGCAGCUGUCUGUUUAUCCCUCUUGGGAAAAUCGCCACUUUAGUCCUUAAACUAUUUUACUUAUGCCAAUUGCAUCCCUCAAUGUUAUUUUAGCCUAAUUUAGUCCUUCAACUUAAAUUCCUUGUCCAAUUAAAUCCUUUUACGGCUGCACCACCCAAUAAACUUUUUCCGACACAAAAAGCACUACCUAAACAAAGGGCAAGAAUGGAAGUACAAGUCUUGUCCUACGUUAAAAUAAAGAAAUCUGAAAAUUUUUCAUCUAAUGGGGUAAAACAAAAAAUUUACACUAAAUUGGGGAGAAAAAUAAAAUAUCUGUAAAAGAAUAUCCCAAUUUUCAUCUCCAUUUAUCACUAGUCAACAAGUCAUCACCAACUAUGUCAACCGAUUUUCUUUGGCAAACUUCCGAAACAAGGACGUCGUCUUUUUGAACUCUUAAAUCAAUGGCCAUUCUCAACUGGACAAUCGAAACUCCUCUCUAAAUUUGUAAAUAUUUCUACAAAUGAGGCACUGCAAUUUUCUAUUUUAACUCUCACAUAUUCUCUGCCAGUAUUGCUGCAUUAUUAAUUCCAGAUGAUUCAUUAAUUGGGAAAAAAGCCUGUGUGAUUGUCGUAAAAGAAAUUCAUUUGUAGGAUAUUUUUGUGAACAGUUUUUUUGCUCAAUACGUAGUCUACAUUGUGAUAGUUCUUUAUUCAAUAUGUAUUCUAGAUUGCAUUUUGUUAAAGAGGCCCGAAAAGUGUUUGAUGAAAUGUUUAAGAGAAUUAUAGUUUCAUGAACCACCAUGGUUUGCUAGGUAUGUAACCUCUAGACUUGCUAUGGAGGCAUGUAAACUUUUUCAACCUCUAUUUGAUGGAAGGUAGAUAGAGAACUUGAAGGAAUUUCUUAGAGCUUUUUAUGAUGAUACUGGUGAUGGUCCUAGAGAGAAGAGGGAAAAGCCUUAGCUCCUCUCUAUUUGAGACUCGACGGGUUUGGAAAGCAUUGACAAUUUAAUUCCGUAAGUUCUAUGCCUUGAAACUUUCCCAAUUUUUUGACAUCUUUGUGAAAAAAAGAACCCAAAUAAAAAAGAAAAGAAUGAGAAGGCGAUGGAAUCCAAAAAAUGAAAUAUAGAAUGAGAGAAGAUGGCGAUGCCUAAGGAAAGAUGUGGUUGAUAAUUAUUAGUAGAUGGUAGUAAUGGUGAAAAUUUUUGUUAAGAGACUAGGUAUGAUUUGGGUUGGGCAAAAUGCUUUGACGUAGAUGGAUAAUUCAGAUUUUCUUUUGACGAUCUCUAUCUUCUUUCCCAACUUGGUGGAAAAUUUGUUUUUCUCUCCUUUUUAAUGGAAAUCAUUUUGUUGGGGUUCUAACUUUGCCCCUAACUUUGUAAUUCCUAGAUUGCCCUUAAUUUUUUUUUUUUGUCGAAACGAUAGAUGUCCUAUAACCUAAUCUAGUCUAGUUUAAGGGGAAGGAGAGGGGGUUCGAUGUGAGUACAGACUCCAUCGAUGAAGGUCACUUAAGACCGCCACAAAUUGUGGCAAAUUUGUGGGUGGUGAUUUUGUGCCUGAAAGAUUUUAAUUGGUGGUACGUCUGUGAAAGGAUUUAAUUGGACAAGAAAUUUAAGUUGAAGGACUAAAUUAGGCUAAAAAGACAUUGAAGGAUGAAAUUGACAUAAGUGAAAUAGUUUAAGGACUAAAAUGGUGAUUUUCCCAUUUAUCUUUUGUCUCUAAAGAAAGUACUAACGGAUGAAAAACCCAAAAAGUUUUAUAAAGAUAUUCAAAUUAUCAAGGAUAUUAAACCGGGCUCUAAUCAUUCUCAUCCUUGUUAAGCAACACUGGAGUCCUAAGUUUAAUCCUAGUACACACUUCCCUUGGAAUAAAAUGACCCCUAUUUGUUGUAUGGAAGGUGUAAUCGAUUCUAAUCGAGUUGAGUUGAGUUAAAAAACUUUAAUUCGAAUUUCUCAAACUCUUGAAAGUUAAAUUCAAAUUCGGGGUCAAUUUUAUUUUAUCUUGAGCUCAAGCUCGAUCAAAUUAAGUUUAGUCAAACUCAAUUCAAAUUCAAUUGAACCUAAUCAAAUCUAAUUGAGUUUAGGUAAUAUAAAUUUAUAUUUUAUAUAAUUUAAAAUUACAGUAAAUAUUAUAUACACUAACAAUGUAUACGCUAUUACGGUUGGUUGUACGACAUAUAGGGGUGAGCAUCGAAUUCGAAUUCGGUAAUUCGGUAGGUUGAAAUCGGUAAUUUUCGGUAAAUGGUGUUGGGAUAUUUCGACCUAAUUCGUAUUCGAAUUACCAAAUUCCGAAUUCGAAUUCAAUUCGGAUUGAAUUCGGUAAACACGAAUUGACCGAAUUGACCGAAUUCCUGAAGCAAUUGCAGCCUGUUUUGCUUUGUAUAAUAAAAUAAUUUCUAGCAAUAAAAUAAGUGCUGUUCACAAUUAUCAUUCAUAAAGCUGCACCAAAAUAAUCAAAAAAUAGAAGUAGUAAUCACGUCCAUAGGCACAAUAGCCAGAUGAUUGCACUACCAAAUCACAACAUAUAAAACCUCUUCCCAGUAGCUAACGCCUACCAGUUCAAAACAGCAUUACUUAAGAAAUCACAAAUCCAAACAGAAUCUAGAAAACUUCAAAAUUACUAACUAUCCCAAACUUCAUACAUAUCCAGAAAUGACAAAUCCACAAAUCCAGAAAUCAUAAAUCCACAAUCAGAAAUUACAGAAAUCAAUCCAGAAAUCAUAAAGGUCAAUUAUCUAGAAACAAUCCACAAUCCACAAGAACAAACAAUUAUAGGUGGUUCAACUCUCAAACUUCAGCAUUUGUGACCUCUCAAAGGUCAAUUACAGUUGAUUCAGUUCCGGUCUUCAGCAACUCUGCAAGAACAAACAAAAUUCAUGAAGUAUCAUAAAGGCAAUUAUUAGAAAUAAAGAAAUACUUCAAAUUUUGCAAUAAAAAUUUUGAUAGCAUACCAGAUUCGAAGGCUUCAAGUUCUUCCAGAUUUUCUUCUACAUUUAAUUCUGUCUUGGAGGACCGAAACCAAUCUUGAGCACAUAUUAAACUUUGCACAAUUCUAGGAGUCAAAGAACUCCUAAAUGUAUCAAAAACACGACCUCCGGUACUAAAAGCAGAUUCGGAGGCCACAGUAGAAAUUGGGACUGCUAACACAUCACGAGCAAGUUUUGAAAGGAUUGGGAAUCUAAGGCUAUUGGCCUUCCACCAUAACAAGAUAUCAAAUCUCUCAUCAUCUUCCUCACAAUCCUCAUUCAAAUAUUUCUCUAAUUCAGAUUUUGCAUCCCUACCCCCAAGUUCCAUUUUUCUCUUCUUAAACUCCAACUUGUACCGAUCAGUGAUUGUUUUAGAGGCAUUCCCAUGUCCAUAAAAUGUAGUUUUACUCCUUUGAGAUUCACUUGAAAGUGAAGAAACAUGAGACACAGAAUUUGAGGCAGGUGUGUUGAGCAUCUUGUAUUCAUUAAACAGCUCAAACAUUGCAUCUUUUGCAAGGCCAGCUAUUGUUGUACCAUCGGACUCACCAUACAUUUGGCAAACCACAAAUUCAAGGUAUUCAAGUUUAGUUCGAGGAUCAAGCAUGGAGGAAAUAAAAAUCAGCAUAUUCAUCUUUUCAAUCUUUCCCCAAUACUUAUCAUAUUUCUCCUUCAUUGAUCUUGCCAUUGAACUUAAUUCUUCAUUAUCACUUGCUGCCAUUUCAAUUAAAAUGCCAUGUAUGUGACUAAUAUCAGUGAAAAAAUUAUUUGAAGUCACAUAUUUGGAACCAGAAACCUUCACAGUUAGCUGAUAAAAGUUCUCCAAAAAAAUUACCAAGAAUCUAGCUUUUGUCCAAUCAGAUUUUGUUGGCAGAUUUUCUAACUCUUGAAGCAUGUAAGGAUCCUGCUCCUCGAACCUCUCAAAAGCCCGCUCAAACCUUUGAGCCGUGUCUAGCAUUAGAUAUGUAGAAUUCCACCUAGUAGAGACAUCUAAACAGAGCAAUCUUUUGCAUUCAAUUUUUUCAAUUUCCACACAUUCCUUGAAUUUUUUCAAUCUAGAAGGUGACUGUCUAACAUAUCUAACUGCUGCCCUGAUACAAUCAACUGAUUCCCCCAGUUUUUUGAUGCCAUCAUUAACAAUUAGAUUCACUAUGUGAGCUACACAUCUCACAUGAGUCCAUUUCCCCCCUAACACAGCUUUCCCCCAAUUUUGAAGUUUUCCUCGUAAAUAGCUGACAGCUACAUCAUUGGAACUUGCAUUGUCAACUGUAACAGUUAGGAUAUCAUCAACUCCCCAUUCUAGUAGACACUUUUCUAUGGCCUUACCAACUUCAGUUCCCUUGUGACUAGCAAUAGGACAGAAAUUUAGGAUCUUUUUGUUCAGUUUCCAAUCAUUAUCUAUGAAAUGGGCAGUGAGGCACAUAUAGUUUAUCCUUUGAAUGGAUGUCCAAGAAUCUGUGGUUAGACAAAUUUUGCCACUGUUAUUCUUCAAGAGAUGUUUCAACUUAAUUUUUUCAUCUAAAUACAGCUGAUAGCAAUCUCUAGAAAUAGUCCACCUCGAAGGAAUUCUAAAUGAUGGACAAGCAGUCCGCAUCAUGUAUUGAAAACCUCUACCCUCUACAUGUUUAAAUGGCAAUUCAUCAACAAUUACCAUAUAAGCUAUGCUUUUUCUAAUGGCUUCCGCAUCAAAUUUCCAACUUAUGAGUGACCCUUUAACCUCUCCCUCUAAUGUUUCAGUUUCACCCAAACACAAAGUAGCCUGGCCAGUGUGCUUAUUUUUAGGAUUUAGAGGACAUUUAGCUACAUGAGUAUUAAGGGGAGUCGUACCAUGACUUUUGGGAUCCGCGGCUAUGUCCUUCUCACAGUAUUUGCAAAUUGCAUGACGAACUCCAUUCACAUGCUUUACAUGAAAAUGAUCCCAAGCUUUGGACCUCUUCUUGUACUCUCCUCUUUUCUUGCCAAAACCAGAUUCUUCACAGCUUUGUGUUGUAGGACUAGGAAGAAGACCUCUAGAUGAUCCUUCUUGUUCUAACUCAUUGUGACUUGGAUUACUCUCACCCUCAUUAGUAGUAGACAUACCUUAAGUUUUGCGAGAAUCUGAGCAAAUAAAUUAUACAAUUUAGUGCAACAAUCAUUUAGCAAUAAAAUUGAAAUAAAAGACUAGAUGAAAUUGAAGAACCAACUCAGGACAACAUUCAAUGAACGCUGAGAAAAUCAACUAGAGACACAAUGAGUGCUGUCUGGGAAUGUUUUUACUAAGACCACAAAGUCCCACGCACAAACAAAAGCAUUAGUAAUUAAUCUAACAUCGAAAUUCCAAUUAUAUGAUAAAGCUGCAUAAUUACAAGGUCACUCCCAUACAAGCAACAGUAUGCUCUUGACUCCUAGUCAUUUAAGUGGGCAUCAAUCAUCUUCAUCCUAAGCAGCAUUGCAAUCGUAAGCAGUAACAUCAGUUGCUACUGGUAAAUUUGAAGCUUAAUGAUAGCCUAGAAUAAUGUUUACUUUUCUCCUUUCAGAUAAUCGAAGACAAUGGGUAUUGGAGUAUGUAUUCUAGUGGCCAGAUAAUUGGCACAUGUGAUAAUCUGUACAAAAGACUUCCCACUAAUGCCAUGACAAAACAGAGGCCAAAACCUCAAAAAAAAUAUAUGGAACAGAUCUAAAGCUUUAAAUGAAGAAAUGAACCAAUUUCGACAUUGACUUGAGUUCAACAGUCUAUCCAUUUUGGCAAUUCACACGAAUAAAACGUCCACGGUCACUUAAUACCAGGCAAUGUUUCCAUUAACAAUAAUACCUGACAGGACAAAAAAUCCAGGAAUCAACAUUAGAUGAUUUGUAAAUGCAAAGAUUAAGAAGAAGAGAGGGAGAACCGGCUCAAGUUUGCUGCACUAGAAGAAGAAUGAAACUGAUCCAAGUUUGCUCAAGUUUGUACCGGCUCAACUACUCUUAUCCAAUUCAAAAACUCAUAACUUUUAUCAAGAUUCAAUCAGGAAGGAAAUUGAGCAUCAAACAUCAUACAAGUUCCACUGAAAUUAAAUUAGCCCAUAUAAAAAAACUAGCAAAUUAAACAACGACAUCCAGAAUCAAAUACCAAAAGAAAAAAAAAACACCAAAUGAAAAUCCAAUUAUUGAGUCUUUUUCAUAAACCCAUUUACCUGAUAGGCUUAUCCAAGGCUUCACUGGAAUCAGCACUAGCGAACUGUGGUCCUGGACCUCCUGGUGAUAGUGGAUGCUCCGCUCGGUCAGCAAUGGUGAAACCUCGGUCAGAAUGGGAAACGGAGAAAGAGUGGACUGAGCAGAGGAGAGGAAAGGACAGAGGACUGACUGAGGAGAGGACUGAGCAGAAUGAGGAGAGGAGAAGAAACGAGAGAAAGAGGGGAACUGAGGAAGAUGGGACUGCGCCGCGGGCCGCGGCAGUGCAGAGGAGCGAGAGGAAGAGGGGACGAAGAGCGGAAUUAGGGCACCACGUCUGAAAAUCUGAAAUUGGACCAAUAUGAAUAUCGGACAUAAUGAACUAUUUCCUAUGUAACUUAAUUCGGGAAUUUCGAAAUUGAAAACGGUAUAUUAUUACCGCUUUACCGAAAUGAAUUCGAAUUCGGUAUAUCCGAAUUCAAAAACUAUAAAAUCGUUUUCGAACCUAAUUCGAUUUCAACUUGUACUAUAUCCCCGAUUUACCGACCGAAUUACCGAAUUACCAAAUUCGAUUUACCAAAUUGAAAUCGAUUUCGGUCGGUAAAUCGGUAUUUACCGUAAUUGCUCACCCCUAACGACAUAUAUGUAAAAUUUGGAUUUCAAAUUCAAAUUCAGAUUGCAUGUCAUGCAUCUAAAAGUGUUUACGCUGUCAGCGUAUAGAAAAUUAAUCCUUAAAAUUAGGGAUGAGAUAAACAUUUCACACUAAUAAAUUAAAUUUAUAUAAAACUCGAUUAAGCUCAACAAGUUUUCAAACUUCAAAUAAUAAGUUUGAACUUGAGCUUGUCAAAUAGUUUGAGUUGCUCGAACUCGAGCUCAAGUUGAGUUUUGAUCGAAUAAGCUUACGAACUACUCGAUUAAUCUCGACUCAUUUACACACUGUUCAUAUUCAUUGUGUUUUUUUCUCCCUCACCUAUUCUUUUCUUCGUUUUGUUUGUAGGUAAGAAAAAAAAAAAAUCUUAGUUGAAGGGAAGGUUAUCGCAUUCCAAGCCUAGGGAGUCCCUUAAGUGGUGGGAUUUGCUUCCUUUAAACAUGGUGAAUGAGUUUUAUCGCUUAUCAAGACAAAUGAGAUUUUAUCAGUUGAGUCAAUCCCAAAUAUUAACAAGGUGAAUGAGCUUUAUUGCUUAUCAAGGUGAAUGAGAUUUAACUUCUCAGAAAAUACCAAUGCUAUUCCUCUCAAACUAAGGUACUAAUAGCCAGUAUAAAACUUAAGAGGUGACAUUAACACUUCCAUAUAAGUUGCUUUGACAUAAAAAUUUGUAUCAUGGCAUCAUUAGCUGCGUUUAUGAGAAGGAUCACAAAUCCAAUAAGGUAAAUUAUGAUUGCACGAAUUAGUUUUAUGCGAUGAUCUUGGAGCACUCGUCUUUCUGCCACCUAGUUUAUCGAGGACAAAAAGAUGAUAAGAAGCUUUAUCCUAGAUUUGUUCUUGAGGCUUUCUUUUUUUUUCUUUUUUUUCUUUCCCUUGAUUUUCCAUAUUUUUUACGCAAUCAUAUAUUCUGAGUUAGACACAAUUGAAUGAAUUGCCAGUUGCAAUUACUCACUGAAAAAGGGACCAAAAAUGCCCAAGAGAAAAUUCUCAAUUAAUCAUUAUUGGAAGUCACUUGUCAACUCAAUGAUGUUUACCUUGUUACUAAAUGGUCAAUAGCAUGGCAAUGCGAAUUCGAACAAUAGCUGUACUUGAACAAUAUAUAUCUCCCAGAAGGUUCAGCCCUUAAUUGUCGUUUAGGUUAGUAAACGAAAUGCUUCAUAUAUAUAUAUAUAUAUAUAUAUAUAUAUAUAUAUAUAUAUAUAUAUAUAUAUAUAUAUAUAUAUCUCGCCUAUGUUAAAGUAAUAUACCCAAUGCAGCAACAAGAAGAAAAAGUCAGGUCAAUCAACUCAGAGAAGCAGCUAGAAACUGGUAUAAAAUGGAAAAGUUUUGUAAUCCUCAGGGAAGUAGUAGUCAGGGCGUCAUUUUCCAUUCUCUGCAGUGCAUGCAUCAAACUACUAAACUGUACCCCAAUGCUAGCAAAAUCUGGGAUCAUAUCUUCUUCUGUAGCGAGGCUUCAAGAAUUCUUUUAUAUUACUUUUCUUUUUAAUUCUCGCUUUGCUUCGAAGCUGAUUUCCUUUCAAGAGCUGCCAUGGGAUGUUCCUUCUGGAGCACCCGCAUUCCAUUAAAAUAGUAGUCAAGUAUGUACUUGAAACAGCUAGAGCAGCUCAGUCCUAGGAGCAUCACUCAUCAGUCGUCAUUUGCACUAAUCUGAUCCCGAAAACGAUGAAUCCAUUUCUUCAUCAUUCUCAUCCAGUUCAAAAAAGAUACCAGUUCUAGGACUUCGACUCUCGUGUAGACGGGAAACUUGUUCUAAAACAAUACCCUGAUCUGCAAGUAACCUUUCAAACUUUUCCUUUUCUGCAUCUCCCUUUUCUCUCAAGUAUUCCAGACAUGCUGUCAACGUAGUGCGGUUUAAAGUCCAAGAAGUACCUUUCCAAGAAAAGAUGGCAUUUUUCAUUGCAUCAACUGCCUUCUCCAUCUGAUUAUCUUUGUAGUAUCCAGUUGCUAGAUAAUCCCAUGUGCUUGCAGGAAUCUUUCUGCCACAGUUUAUAGCUCUGUUUAUAAAUUCUUCAGCCCUUUGCAGCAAGCCCUUUUUAGUAUAAGCAUUUAUCAAUGUGUUUGGAAUUCGGAAGUCAUAAGAAGUGUUCACAGAUUCCCAUUCCUGAAAAAUCUUUUCAGCUUCAUCAAUGUCAUCCAACCAGAUUAAAGAGCUUAUCAUGUGAAAGUACCCAUUGUUGGUCAUAUUUCCUCUCUUCUUGUAAAGAUGCCAGAUUCGUGUGACUUCAUCUUUGUCACCCAAACUGGCAUACAUACUAAGGAGAAUUUGGUAGGCAAGUCCUCUAUUGCUACCUCUGAUAAGUUUCUCUGCCUUCUUCAGCAUGUCAGAAGCUUUAUCUUGGAGGUUAGCUCCUAAGUAUCCCUUUGCUGCUGUUACACAAGCAUUCCAAUUCACAUUAACUAGAAGGUCAUCUUCCAUUUUCUUCAAGAGCUUCUCCAUGGCCUCUAUAUCAGAAUUUAGAGCAUAAGCAUUCAACAAGAUGCAGUAUGCGGGUUUAUCAAAAGUUAUGCCUUCCUGUUCCAUCUGACGAACAAGCUUCUCCAAUUUCUCACGCUUUCCCAGCUUAGAGUAGAGGUUCAGCAUAAUACAGUAGGAUAACUUCAUAUUACAACCAAAUCUUCCCAUUACACGCAUGAUUGCCUCAGCCUGUUCCACUAAUUUCUUCUUGGCAUAGCAAUUUAAUAGAGAACCAUAGACCUUAAAAGUUUUCAGACUAUCCGGGACAUUAAAAAAGUAGUUCUCUGCCUCUCGUAAUCCAUGUACUUUAGAUAUUAAAUCCAGUCUCACUGCAACAUCUUCAGGUGAUAGGUUAGAACUGUCAACGAUCCACUUAGACAACUGAAAGAAAAAUGAGAAAUGAGCAAUGGAGCCAAAAGUUUCAGCACUCAUGGGGCUCCAAUUAGAGGAGAUAAUUCAGGCAUUCAUACAAUAUAGCCUUGAAACUUUGCAGGUUCAAAUGAAUUGCAUAUUAUACUGAAGAAACAGCAAGUGGCUCAAGGAGCUUUUGUGGUCUACACGGUAAAAAUAACUUAAAGGCUACAUUAACUUGAUCUACCUUUUAGUUUCUCAACAUCAUAAAGAUCUCCCCUCGGAUUUCUUACAUCAUACCCCCUCUCUUAUUAGUUUUUUCAAUUAAACAAAUUUAAGUUACAUAUUAGACUACUUUUUCUCCAUUCAAUAAAACAUGUUACAAGUUUUACCAAUCAAAGUAAUGCUAGAAGCUUAUUUUUCAUGAAAUCACAAAUUAAUGUGAAAAUAAUGACGACAACUUGAUUGUUAAUUUUAUGAUAAUGAAGUUACUCUUAAAACGAAAAAAAUAGCUAAUUCUUAAAACAAAGAAUUUACCUCACUUGACUAUGAAAGAUGGUAUAUGAUGAUUAUCAAUGUGGAAAGAUAUAUUACAACAUAGCAGACAACUCUAAAUUCGUCUAAGAAUGUCAAGAUACAGGUAUUGCAGAGAAAACCAUCUUUGGCCAUAUUUUCUUGAAAGGAAUCGCAGCUUAUGAAUAGCUCGGAUAAUUCAUUUCCUUGUCCAUUUCUCCAAAAAUAGAGAUUUGAAGGAUUCAAGAUCGCAAUGUACCCUCACCAGCACAUGCUGCAAUUAUGCAAACCACUCUAGCACCAGCCUUUCUAAGUGUAAUCUAUUGCCACAUACAAAAUCUUUUGCCACUUAGUAAAUGCAACAAUUUCUCAAGAUAGGUGCAACUUCUGUAAACACCAAAGUAACAACACUACCUGUAACAUCCUAUGUAAGUAGACUGAUUGGAAUCCAGACAUGAGGGAGUAAUACAUCUCAACAAUUUUAUCCAGAUAUAAGACAGCACCAACUUCUUAAUGUUCAGUUACUGUUUCUCAAAAUUUUAUCUUCAUCAUGAUUUUUAAUUUGAUAAUAUCAUAAAAAGCAUAUGAUAAUAAGCACUACACAAUUGCAUCUGUUUGUUUAUAGAAGAAAUCAAAAUGCAGGUUGAUAUGGUUAUUCUCAUACCACAAGCACGCCAAGUGUUCUUUCAGUCUCUUAACUGGUAGCACUUUCUUUAAGUGGAGGAGUUUGCAUACAUGUUAGCGGUGAAAUUUCAAGAUUCCUAGCUCAGGUGAGAAACUUUCAAUACAUUCUUGUUAAGCACCCUUAAUUACUUCUUUGUGUGAAACCUCCAAAUCAUUCAGAUGAGGCAAGAGCACAAGAAAAAAUAUGAUAAAAAGCAUGAAAGUUCUGAAAGUGCAGAACUUUAAGAUCGAAGUUUUGAAGCAUAAUAAACUCACUUCAGAUUGAACAGAUUUCAACGAGUUUCAUGGCUCUCAUUUUAAGACCCCAAGUUCUAACAGCUAGAUUUUCCCAAAUCUGUAUCUGAUGAUCCAUAUAACUUACAAAGAACAAUUGGAAAAAGCAGUUAUGGGAAAACAGUAGGAAUGAUCUAUCAAAUGGCAACAAUGCAAUGAAGAUUCAGAUGCAUGUUGAGUAGGAAGAACAAAGCAUUGUGGAGAUUUGAAUGGAAAACCUGCUAGAUGUGACAUCAAGAACAGUAGAAGUAAAGUCCUGUAGCCAAGUAUUUUACUUGACCACUGAUUAAGUUUUCACAAGUGGGACAGUUGCAGUUAUUGCAGCACCACGUUGGCUUCCCAUUAUACUUGUUUUCAAUCAUUUCAUUGUCUAUCUCACUUUCAGAAACAGCCCCCAAAUAUAGUAUUGCAUUUCUAACCGUCUUCGAUAUUUUAGAUUUGGCACUUCACAGCUUAGCAAAUUCAAUUAUAUUUUAUAUUUUAGAUUUGACUUUUCACAUCUUACCAAAUUCCACUAGAAAAUUGACUUCAUAGAAUUAAUACAUCAGACCAGGUUUUUCGAAACCUUAUAUCCUUUUGGAACAAACCAUCCAUCAAGGCACCAGGUACAAAUCUCAAGGGAUGGUCUCUUAAGGUAUAAAACAGAAAUUUCCCAUCGGAAUGCUUCAAUUUACUUCCCAACCAACUCAGCAGCACAAAUCCACAACAUUUCUGAAAUCAAAGACCCUAUUUCUUCUGAUCGCUCAAGGUGCUAUGCAAGCAUGAAUUUUCAAAGUUAACCCCAUCAUUUCCCUAAAUUUCAUCAGCAUCAGUAUCAAACAUAUUCAGCAACCAUUUUAGCCUAAAAAAGUUCCUUUCAUUAAAAGUUAUCAAAAAUCCUUCAUCAGUGGGCGUGCAUGACUAAUUUUUUCAACCUUUCCGACCUUGGUUCAAUAGGAGCGUACCAAGUCAGAAAGACUGAGCUAGUGCAGUCUUUCCUUUCCCUAACAUCGACCAAAACUAAACACCACAUACUAAAAAAAUAUUGAUUCAUUUCCCAUUUAAUUCAAAGUCAUAAAAUACCUUCAAUUUAGGGUCUAAUUUUCCAUAAUCUAACCUCAUUAGUCUUAAUGCAUACUCACAUAAACAUAAGUCACACAUACCCAAUAAAGUAAUAAAGAUCACUUCUUUUCUUUUUCCUCAAUAGCAUUAUCCAUAGAGCAUUUACAACCUAGAACCUAAUAGCAAAUCACUUAACACAGGAUUUACAACAAGUUCAAUAAAUGCAGAUAAACAAAUAAUCACAUUUUUCUUGCAUAAUCUAAUAGACAGGCCUGAAGAGCAUGAGUGUAGCGUCUGUUUUUCCUCAGGAUUUUGAAGAUGGUUUUGAGCUCGGAUCGAUGAACGGGUCGGCCUUCCCGAACCCAUUGAUCAAGAAUUGGGACAAUGGAAACCUGAGGGUCUCCAGCUGGUAAAAUUCUCUUGAACAAAGUGUUUGGGGAGGGGGAAACUGAGGUCUUUGUUGAAAAUGAGAAAAGCCCAGAUGCCUCGUUCCAAUUAUAGUGUGAUUUCUUGCAGAAAUUCAACAAGUUUUUGAAGGAAUUGAUCAUUUGUGCAGGCAGAGGAAUGAUUUUGCAGUAUGUUCUUUCUUGUUGUGGAGGGAGAUUUUACAAUGGUUUAUGAUGAUCUGGUCCGGGCUAUGACUUAUGAGGCUAAAAAGGCUUCUAUUUGAUUGGGGGGUUAUUUUCAAAAUCACAUAUUGGCACCGAGGUUUCAUUUGUAUGGUAGUAUGCUGAUUUAGGCCCUUUUUGUACCUAUGGGUUUUCGUAUGGGCGAGUUGUAAGUUUUUUUUAUUUUUUUUUUUGAGGUUUUAAAUUCGACACCUACUAUUUACAAUAUUUCAUCGGAGUUGUAAGUUUAAAUCAUUUUAAAGUGAAAAAGAUAUAUUGGACAAGUUUUACUUUAGUCCCUUAUAAUUCAGCUUCGACACUUUUUGUCCUUUAUCCUAUUCACGUUUUAAUUUUUUUGAGUUAUUCUUGUUUGAUUUUAGUCCCUCAGUUUUAUUAUUUACCUAUGCGAUGCUUUUCAUUUAUGCUUUUCUUCCUUUUAGAAAAAUUUCAGAAAGGCUUGAAUAGGAAUGAAGAAGCAAGAAGGGAAAUGAAAAGUAGAAAAGGAGAAUCAAAAGAAAUGCAAUUCCUGAUCCUUUUUAGAAAUAGAAGGGACCAAAUGUGUGAAUAUUGAAACAUGAGAGUAGUAAGUAGAACAUGAAAACACAAAAUUAAGACUAGGACAAAAAAUUUAAAAGAAAGGGACCUGAAUUAAAUUUGCACAUUUGAGAAAAGUUUGACAACCUGACUUUGUGAUCGAAAUUUUGAUGCCUUUUAAGGAAAUAUUAAUUUACUAACAACAAGAUUUGCUCAAUUAGCUUGCUGUUGAAAAACAAUUUUGACUUCAAAUGAAGGAGGAGUUGAUGUGAAAUCAAACUGGUUAUUUCUAUGGAGGACUUUUAUGAUUCUUGGAACUUUUCUCUUAUUCAAUUCUAAUAUCAAAUCAACAAAUUUCAUCUUAAUUUAAGAAAAUGCAUAUAUAUAUAUAUAUUAAGAAGUGAAGUUUAAGGACCAGCAAUUUGAGAUGUACUAAGGCCGAGUUUUCUAAAUGAAUUGUUUUUGGCUCAACUAGACAAGUAAUUCUGUUGACAGAUAAAGUCCCCAUAUACUGCAUGCAAUUCUUGAUGAAAAAGAAAAAAAAGGUAGUGCUAGUGGAACAUAUUUGUCCUCCAAUCUUGUCAUAGCUAUUCUUGAAUCCACUAUUCACCUUAGCGCUGUUCUUGGUAAAAGCAAAAAAUAUAACGCAUGUAAACAGAUUCACAUAUUCAACUUACACUUUUAUAUCCAAUAUUAUAAACUUUCAAAAUAGAUGCUACCUCAUUGUGAUCAUAUUACCGGCCGGCCAAGAAAAUAUGUGCUUAUUGCAAGAUGUGCAAAAACAUGUUUUAAGUUUUUGAACCAAACUAAGAAAAUAAAGAACCAAACCAGAUGGAUAAAUGCUCUUUACAAUACUAAAAGGAGAGGAGAUUUUAAUUGAUGCAUCUGUAAAGAAAAAAAAUGUAUUCCUUCACAAACCAUCAUAUAAAUAUGAUAAUACAGUACAUCCUUUCACGUAUAGACAUUUUGAAACCCUUACCCACAUGUAAAAAAAAAAAAAAAAAAAAAAAGAAUUCGGGUUUUCGGUAACAUGUUUGGUGUUAUAGUACUCCUAUCUUACGUUUUAUUACACUCCGUCUUUAAACUAUCUAAGCUGCUAAAAUAAAACAAUUUCAUCAACAUGCAUUCUUGAAUGCCAAGCUGCUUAUUUACUAUAGUAUAAGUACUCUUUGCUUCACUUUCUUGGGGGGAAGGACACAUCCAGGGCUUUACAACUCCUUAUUUGUAAUAGGACUAGACCCUGAUGGAGGUGUUGGACCACGCUUUGGUAACGUUGAAGCAUAUACAGCAGACUUCUGUAUUCUUGACCUGCUUUGCCUCCCAGUUUCAACUUCUCCCUCAAAUCCCUUGCCACCAUGGCCUUCUUCUCCUCCUCCUCACUGACCAGGCAAACGUCCCUCAGCCUGCAGCAUUACUCUAUUAAGGAAAAGAAACAGGAUUGGUGAUGCUGUGACGAUUUCUUGAGCUUGAUAAAGCACCCCAUUUUGUGGUAAUUUAGUUCUAAUCGAUCGUAUAUACAGCACCAGCAGGCCUCAAAGAGUAGUGUUAGACACUAAUCAAUGAGAUUUUGCACAUAAUAUGCUGGUGAUUAGAGAUGAAAAGCACGUACAUAUAUGCCCAGAACCGGAACCUAAGAGCUGGUUGAGCUGUAGUGUAUAUCAAUUGGUCAACCUCAGCUGGCUACAAAUCAUACUUUAUUGUCAAUUUGAAGAAGAGAAUAAUUCUCUAUAAGGCAAAAACUAGCUUCUUGAAAGGUGAAUAAUCUAUAUAUUUUUUACUCAAACUGAUAAUUUAAAGAGUAAAUCUUAUAUAUACUGACAGUGUAUAUACUAUCACUAUUUGAUUUAUGACAUUUGUGCAAAAGUUGAAUUUUAAAUUCAAAAUUUUCAUAAUUGUCGUUCAUCCAACACUGAUAGUGUAUACACUGUCAGUGUAGGAAAGAUUGAUCCUAAUUUAAAAGCCUUGUUUAUAUAGGCAUUGAGGUUUGAAGGCACGGCCAAUUGGCUUAUUUAGUUGAAAGUCUUAUGCAUGAUAAUGAUUAUUUAGUGGUUGUGGGAUGUUUUAGUGCCUUAAUUCGAUGUGCAACUAUUUCCAUGAAAUAUUUGAGAGAGACCUGUGUUUUUUUUAUUUUUUUUUGCUAUGGUAAGUGCAAAUGGAGUACAAUGUCAAAUUGUGAAAAUUAUUUGUACUUUUCUUGUCGUAUUGGAUUGUAGGAAAUAAAUUUCAUGGACAUUAGUCCCAUUAAAGGUGUAAAACCUGAUUGAUUCUUAGUUCUUACUCCCAAGUAAGGCAUUGGUACAUUAAGGAAGCAACCCCAGGAUUGGUGGACAAAGUCAAGAAGAAUGGUCUGCAAGAUGGCUUUUCCAGAUGCUUUUAGUUUAGUUUUCUUAAGCCCCAAUGAAUAACGUUUAUGGACAAUAAUUAAUCUGAAUUAAUCAUUUCUUUUUCUUUUUCUUUUUCUUUUUCUUUUUGGCGAACUAGAGAUUGGGAAAGUUAGAAUGUGAUGUAGACCAGCGCCUAAGAUUAAUCUGAAUUAAUCUUUUUUUUUUUGCAUGAGUGUCCCAUUUGCUGUUGACUUAUCUCUAAUUAUGGCCGAAUUGUCCCCAAAAAUAUUUUGCAUCAAAAUCAUACCAUGAAGUUCACGCUAAGGGCCCUGUUAAAGAGGCAUUUGAGAAACAAUCUGGUCCCUUAAGGUUUCUAAUAUUUUUACUUGGCUCCCUUAAGGUUUCAAAAAUUGCACUUACCUCCCUUGUCCAUUUAAAAUGACAAUACUAAUAUUGAUAAUUUAAUAAAACUCCCUUGUUGCCAUGUCUAUACAAAGGAUGGAUUUUAUAAUUUUUUUUCCUUCUUAUUCAUUUCUCUAAUAUUUCAUUAGAAUUAUAGAUAAACUAUCAAUGUUAUCCCUAAUAUCUGUCUAGAUCAAAUGUUAAACAAGUAAUUUUUUGAUAACUUUUAAUAUCAUCCAAUUUUUAGUAGCUCUUUUUUUGGUAUCAAAAUCAAGAAUAAUUAAAAACAAAUGGCUCAAAAUCACUACCAAACUAUGGUAGUUCAAUCACUAAACUAGUCCAUAAACUUUUAUUAAAAAAAAAUAGUCCAUAAACUUAAAAAAAAAAAAGAUAGCACUUUUUUCUCUAUCUUAAAAAGAAUAUAUAUGCUUAAUAGAGCACUAUAAACAAUAGCCUAUUAUAUCAAAAGAUAUAUUGCCAUAGUUGAUUAUCAAUUAACAAAUAUGGGCAUGAAAAACUUGAGACUCUUUGUCUUUUAUAAUUGUGCUAAAUUACUUUACAAUUGUUUAGAAGAAUAAAUUAAACUUUAUAAGAUAAGGACAUUUUAGGGUAUUCAUUAAAAUUUUGACCCUGUUUUAAGGUUUGGUUACCAAAGUGUCAAAUCAAGGGUGGUAAGUGUAAUUUUUAAAACUUCAAAGGAACUAAGUGAAAUACUCAAAAAUCUCAAGGGAAGUUCUUGAAAUUAUCCCAAAAAAAUGGAUCAUGGUUCAAUAAAAAAAAGGUGGUCAUAUUUUCUAUUAAGAGGACCUGUAUUAUCUCAGGAUGGUGGAAUAAUUUAGACCCGCUUGUGAUCAACGACUAAUUUAACUAUCGACUUAUUUGUCUAUGCUCGAAAUUAAUUUCAAUUAUGCCAAUUAUUUGCUAAGUUGGGUUGGAUUCAUCAAUAUUAUUAGUUUUUCAAGAGGGCGAAACCAUGUAAAUCGAAUCUAUGACUGAAUAAUUCACGGGAGAGACAACGAUUUGGAAACAAAAUAGCUCUUAAAAUCUCUUUUUAUUCUUUGUUGUCGAAUGUUCCACCGUUACUUGUUGCAUUAUGCUGGCCCUAUCCAAUAAAUUUGGUAUAUCAUCAUUUACGUGCUGUUUCACGCCCUUUGCCUGUAAUAAUGUCUUUUAUAAAUUAUCAAGACUAGUUAGGUACUAACACCAAAUUAUUAAGGUAACGUGAUCAUUUGGAUUGCUUUCAUGUUAUAAUGGGACAUUGUGACCAAUCCUAUCAAGUGAUUUUAAUGUCUUAUCCUUCUGAUUUGCUUUUUUUCCCAUGGCACAAAUUGCCAUGAUAUGAAGUAGAAGGAUCUUGGAGUAAAGCCCUACGGUAAACAACUAGAAGAGCUAGAAAAAUGCAGAUCAGAAAUGAACCAAAUAUAUAUUAGGAUGGCUUUUUUUUUUUGCAACGAUAGAAUUUCUAUAGCCUAAUCUAACCGAAUCUAGCGAGAAGGGCAAGGGAGGACUGAUGUGAUAAUCUAGGGAGAGCGGGAGAGGGAGGGAGAGGGGGACUGAUAUGAGUAGAGAUCGCCACAUAUAGUGACAACACUACCAAGACUGACGGUGACCACCAGGCCUUUAAAACCGACGGAAGAUCACUUGUACUGGAAGAUCGUAGCUGACAACUUGUACUGGAAGAUCACUAAAUAAGCCAGGCAAAUGUGUGAAAACAUGGUACAGAAAGAUUAAAAAAAAAAAAAAAAGGAAGAAGCCUAUUAGCUGAAAAAUAUAGUCACAGAGAAACCGACGGGAAUUGAAUAUACGGAUGCAAGAGACACCUCUGUAAAUCUAAGAGAAGCCACAUUAAGUGGCAAUUUUUUUAUAAGAGUCAAGAUUUGAAUGAGAGUCAAGAUUUGAACCUUUGACCUCCAACCCUACAAAAAACAUGUGGUGGUCAAUGAUUCUAGAAAUAGUUGGUUACAACCAAAAAAAAAGUUGGUAAAGUGUUUCCGUUGCUAAUGCACCCUCGUAUUUGUUCUUGUGUCCCAGUUAACCUUGUUAACUUAUAAUUCACUUAAAGAUUAAAGAAAAAAGAAUGCAUUAGAUCUUUUGAGUGUUUAAUGGGCUAUGGCCACCUCCAAAGCAGUUGCCAUUGUUUUCUUAUUAAGAGGAAAUUUGAGUUAAUUAUCUACUGACACAAUUUUGCAUGUCUUGUGCUUGUAAGUAGACUUCUUUGUUCUAUAUAAAAUACCAGAAUGGGAGAAGGAAAACUACCUGCCAUUGCAUGAUGAAAGCUGAAAAGCAGAAAGUAGAUAAGAAUGGGAGAUAUUUCUUAAGAAUCAAGUGUACAAAGUUGUGAGCUAGACGCUAUCCAACAUGCACAUUGACAGUAUAUUAUGAAGAACAAAUCUGGAGAGAAGGGUAGUGAAGACAAAGCACCAAUAAUAAAGAGGAGGAGAAGAAGAAGGUUCAUUAUGAGAAAACUACUAGGAGCCAAAAAGAAAAAAGAGAGAAGAUGCAGAUGAUGGCAAAUCGGAAGCUUCAUUAUGAGCUUGUCUUGAUCUAAUGGGGACCGAUAAGAAGAAAUUAAGGAUUUAAGAAUACCCAACCCACACGCCUAAUAGUUCAAAUCACCAUGGACCAUCAGAGGGGCCAGAAUUUUCUAGUGAUAAGGAAAGAAAUGACCUUUGUUGGCCUUUUCUCAAAGAAUUUGAUGAGAAUCUUAAAAAGUUAAUGUCCAAAAUAGAUUACUAAACCAAUCAAAAUUUAGUUAGUCACCGAAGUUUGGAAGCUUCUCCUCCAUCAACUUCCAAAGUUGCCGCCACGGCACUUGCUCCUGCCACCAUAUUGUACGAUAUUGCACACCACCGCCAUAGCCCCCACCAUCCACCAUAUAUUUCUGUUUCCCUCAUCAACAAUUUUGACACUAGUGAAAAUGACAAGAAGUAAAAAGGAGAACACAAUUUGACUUGCAACCAAAGUUAAAUGCAUGUGGGUUCUUGAUCAUGGGACUGAAGGUCUACGAGUUGCCUAUUCAUUCAACCAUCUUGCUUCCCAAAUUUGACUAAACCUUACCUCUAUCAACAUAUAUAGUGGACCAUUAUGCUACUUGUAAUCAUGAACAUAUCCAUCUUAUCUAUAGUGCUUUGAUGCAAUUUACUCCUCAAUUACUCCUCCAACCUCAAUUGUUUCAAGGGAAUCAACUUUGUGGCCCACCAGCCACUCAAUAAGUCAGUUUAUUAUCUGUGUGGUGUGGCAUCAACCACCACCAAAAAUGUGCUCCAAACCUUAGAGCAGAGUAUGAUUGUAGCUUGAUAAUGGAAUGGAGGUGAAGUCUGGUCACAUGGAAUAGAGGGCUUAAUGGAGAAAUUAUUGUACUUCUUUAACCUACAUAUGUUAGUAGUAAUUAUUUAAGACUGAGAUAGUAGGAAGUGAAGUUUGUUUAUUAGUCCCUCCAGCAUACAACCAAAUAUUUAGAAUUGUUCAUACUUAGAAACUGAGAUCAAAUAGUAUAUAUCAGCAGCUUCAGAUUUGGAGAUGGCACACACUCUGUGAUUUGCUAUUGCUAAAUUAAUAGGCUGAGUUUGUAUAACAGGGGUGGAUUUUCUUUUUUUACAUGUAUACGUUUGGGAGGAUUGGGAGAAAACUGUAUCAAAACAGCAGCAGACAUAAAACCAUAGAACAGCAGAGGAAAAAACAUAUUCUGCUGAGAGAUUUGUCAGCCUGCAUCACUUGCCUUCUCAUCCUCGGAGUGCUACCACCUGACAGAUGAAAUGAAUUUGGGUAUGAAUAGGCCUGUGGGUUCCGAAACAUCCUAGUAAGAACCAUUUCACCAAGCAUCGUCACCAAUGGAUGAUACGUGUUCGGACUCAUUGUGCCACUGGAAAACUGAGGGUAAGAUUGUGGUGGUUGUGUGUAACUUAGUCGGUGAAGCUGUGGAACUGCACGUGAGAUAUUCGGCGUUGUGGGUAAUGACAGCAUACUUCCACAUUUUGGGCUUGGUGGCCUUUGCGGGAUGACUAUGCCUAGUUGUCCUGCUUUUGCUUCGGAAGGCUUUGUAGCGAGUCCCCUACCAUAGAGAGGAAUUACACUUUCUUCAGAUAGUUCAGCCUUGCAGACAGGACAUUGUGGCUGUUGGAGGUUGCAAUUUUCAGAAGGCAUGCUCCGAAAAUGGAUCCAUUUGUAGAUGCAGGGCCAACAAUAGAGGUGGCCACAGAACGUGACGACAGGAUCUCGUGCGCAACCCAGGCAAAUGUUACAGUCCAAACCCCCCGAAGGAUUAUCUUCCAGCUCAUCCGGUGAAUGGGAUUUGCACUUUGUCAAUGAAAUGUCAUCUCGAUCGAAGUUGUUUUCAACUGCUGGCUCUUGGAAAUACUCCUCCAUUACUAUUUGCUUUUCUUGUCAAGUAAAAUUUUGAUACUACUACCUGAAAACAAAAGGGCAGAAAUAAAGAUGGUUAGAUUCAACCGCUCACAACAACAAGUAGUUGCAAAUUUCUAUUAUUUCUGACAAACUAUAUGCAUAAAUAUCUGCCAAGGUAAAAGUGUUAUUCAACAUCAAAAGCAUGAACGGGUUUGAACACUAAUUCCGUGGUUAAAGCUUCACAAUCCCACUCAUCAUGAUCUUAGUUUAUGUCCUCAUCCAAAAGGUAUCAGAAGCAGAGACUGAAAGAGGUUACUAUCCAUCAUAUGGCGUUUCAAUUUGACUGAAUUAUUUAAGUAAUCCAAUCGAACAGAACGUUGAACAAUGCUGCCAUUUAGCUAUUACAAUACAUAGCUUAUAGUAAUAAUACACUAUUGCACAGGUUGCGUACAAGUAGCCAGUCCUGGCUGGGCAAGGGACCACUUGAAAACCAUGACCUACCAGUUCAGAAAGUAAAUAAGAAACAAUUUCCCAUUGAUAUAAUGGUAUACAUCAGCUACUCUAAUUGUUAAAUAUGCAAACCACCCAAAAUUCAAAGAAACUUCCGAUUGAACUAUAUUAUUGCUCUAAUAGCUAACCACAAUCUUCUACAAGGUUUUUUCACAGCAGAGCCUAUCCGGUUAUCAAGAUCACCUAUUUUUCAUCCUUUCUUAGCUCUAUCAUACAAAAUAACAUAUCAGGAAGUUUCAAAAAUCAGAUUAACUACUAUUCUAUCUCUAUCUUUGAAAACAUAUUUAGAUGGGCAAAAAGGAGAUCAUGGGUUUUUGCACUACAGGUAGGUGAGACUUUGGUUGGAAAUUAAUUUUGCGACAUAAACAUCCUAUCACGUUCUAAGAAACUUUACCACUAACCUUCUACUCAACUACCCAACUUAUUUCAUAAUAAAUAGGUGAACAAACAGUGGACAAGGAACAAUUAUCACCUCAAGAAUAAAACAGUUAAUAUCACCCACAGAAUGAAGUCCUGAACAUUGAUUGUGGAGAUUGAUAAACAUAUUUCUAGAAGAUGUUGCAAGAGCCACAACUCAAUCAACUGCUUCAUAUCAUCUUCUUUGCACCAUUUAGUCCAGAAGACUAUCCAAACUAAAGGAGUGUAAGCAAAAAAAACACAUCCACUUGUGGUACAAGAGAAACUCAAUACUCAGAUAUAGGAUGUGAUUGAUUAACACAAGAUUCAAUGGUGAGAUUCAGGUAUUCAUUGUACCCAAGAGAAAAUCAAGACUCUCUGAAAGAUAUAUUCUUCAAAGAUCUAAAAGAUCUGGUCAAAUAAUAAAACAAACCCUUGAAAAAAAUCAAAAAGAGAACGAUUUCUAUGGUCCUUGUUGGAAAAAAAAAGGAAGAAGAACAAAAGAUAAUACUUCAUAUUGGGGGAAAAAGGGAUGGUGAACUGAAAGGCACCAUAUGUCGAAAAUGAAAACUGAAAACCCCAGAAAGAAAAUUGUUAAGGUCCAUUUUGAGGCAUAUAAGGACCACCAAGAAAGGUACAAAUUAAGGUGCUCAGAAUUCAUCGUCAAAGCUUGGACGCUAGCAUGAUAAGGGGUCCUCCAACUUGCAGCUGGAACAUCCAUUUGGCAAAACACUGCAUCUAGAAAGUGGCACUAAAUACUAGAAGGAUUCACCCAUCUCAGUAGAGAUGGGCAAGAAUUGAGAGAUUUCGCCAUCUCUACCCCACAGAUGCAAAUUAUGGUACAAUUCAGAACUCACAAGAAGGAAUACUUCAUUAAGCACAUCAAACUCUAACAAGAUUCACCUGGAAAUCAUAAGGUGAACUGAUAAGAAUCAAAACCCCAUAGCUUUGAUCUCAAAUACACAAGACAAGAGUGUUCUCGCACAAUUUAAAUUGCGAAACAUACCCAAUUCUUCUUCCUCCCCUUUCCCCCAACACCCCCAAUACCAAGUCCAAAAAAAAGGACUCACAACAUACAAGAAUUUCAUCAUCCAGGACUAUUCUCAUCAAUAAAGAAAACAAACGAAAUCAAGAUGUAAAUACCAAAUGGCGAAAAAAUAUUGGUACGAAACACAGUGCUUAAAUUAUACCAAAAAUUUGAACUUCUUCUACCAAGUUUCAAGCUUUAUUCAAUGUAACCAUGAAUCAUAAUCCACCAAAAUUUGCUUUGCCCCCUGAACUCACAGAAGCCCCUUAAGCCUUAUCCAGCUACCCCAGAUAAAUAUUCUAUUCCACUUCCUUUCACCUUCUAUAACUCAAAACAAACAAAGAAAAGAUCAGAAUUUUCAAAAAACAGAUUAAGGCCAUUGCAGAAAAACUCAGAGGUUCGAAGGUCAAUACCAAUACUGAAUUGUCUUAACAGAAAGACUCAAACUUUAUCCAAAUCUCUUCAUGCAAAUAGAUAUUCAAAAGCAACCCUUUUCCUAUUUUUUGCAUACACAUACAAAACAGAGGGAUAAAGAAGAGAAGAUACAUACCAAAAGCACAAAAAAGUUGGCCUCUUGAUCGAGGAAAAACUGGCAAUUUAGUGGCUUCUUCAAUACAAAAGACCAAAGAUAUCCUAAGCUUUUAGCUAAAACAGGGGAGAGAACAGAAAUACUUUGGCAAACAGCAAAGCAAUGGCGUGCUACGAAUCUCUUUUUGCUCUGUUUUCUCUGUUAUGGUUUUGGGUUUGCAAGCUGAGGCAGAAAGGUCUAAAAUGAGGAGAUGAAGAGAAAGGUUUAAGGGGAGGGCUUUAUAUACCGAGGCAAAGGGUCAGAUCCCAUUAUUUAAUGUUAAAUUGCUACUAUAUCAAUAAAUGGAGCUUUUUGUUUUCGUCCGUAUGAAAGUGGACAAAUUAAAUAAGUUGAUUUUUUCUUUUACAUUAUUUUUUUAUUUUCUCUAAUAACAGGAUAAACCUUCCCACGAGACCCACACAAAUAAUAUUCAAGAAAGCAGACUAUCCCCCCGAAAAUAAAUGUUAAACCUAAAUGGCUAAAUAUAAUUAUUUGGAUAGUAAAUUAUUUGAGAUAAUUUUAUGAAAAAAUACUGUAGCAUUUUUUUGAUGUGAUGUAUGUGAGAUAAAAAAGUAAUUGAAAAAUGUGUUGAUGAUACAAGCAAGUCAGUGUGUGUAAAUAAGGUAUAAAUAAUGUGCAUUCCAGACAUACUAUAACACUAAAAAAAAGUUACUUGCUCCUCAAUAACCUGAGUUAAACCUAAAUUUAAGAUUAAAGUCAAGACUUAACUAUUAUAAUUUUUACGAUUGACCCAAAAAAGGCACUUGUAAUAGCUUUAACCACAUUUUUUCUACCACUACUAGCAUUUAAGUUAGGCAUUAAUUUUUAUCUUUUGGUAAAAUAAAUAAUCAGUUGUCUCUUGAAUUGAUCGAGAUUGUAGAGUUGGUGUCAUGCCUUCCUAUCAAUUCGAGUUCGAAUCUCUCUUGAAAUAUAUGUCUGUCACACGGGAUUUGCUUAGUAUGUCUUAUUCCUCUGUAUGGUCAGCGGACUAUUGCACGGGAUUGAAUUUAUUCAGUGCACACUCUCAAAUAACGACUAUCGAUUCCCUUGUUAAUAAAAUAAAUAAAUAAUUAAUUAAUUAGUGUGUGUCUGUGUGUAAAAGUUUUUGUGUGACGUACAAAAGUGGAGCACUUGGCUUUCUUUAUGUAAGAAGAUUAGAGUCCUUCUGGAUAAACACACAUGAUUAUAGCACACGCAAAAGGUAGGCUGUAUUUGUCUUGCCCCGUGGAAUCAGGAUGGGAGGUCAUCCCUUAUUAUCUGGCGUGGCAGCUACGGGGGAGCUUGUGUUCUACGCGUUUUUUGGCUAGGUGUGAAAUCACAAUGCAUGUCCUCAUCAACUAAGUAUUAUCUAUCUUCUUCCCUUUUACUUUCAUUAUUUUAUUAUGUAUGGAUCUUUCCUUUGGCUCUUUUUCAGUUUUCUAGUCUAUAGUAGUUCUGUUGUUUACAUUAUGAAUUUUCAAGUUGGUUUUAAGGAUGCACUAACAUUUUUCUUCUGUAAGUUAAGUGGACCAUUGUUCUAGUUUUAGUGAAGUUUAUAAGGGAAAUCCAAUUUUGUCCUAUUUCGAGUAUGGUCCCGGUAUAUCUUUCGCUUUAUUGGUCAAGAAUUUAAGCCUUAACAUAUUAUUAGUGUAAGAAGUUAAUACUUGUACACGUUUCAAGCCCCUUAAUCAAGACUAGUAAAAUUUUGAUUCUAGAUGUGGGAACAUCUAGAUUUGGCUUUAAUUUCCUUUUCUAGAGAGAGAGAGAGGUAUAGGAAGGUUCAAGAUGGCUAAGGAAUUUGGGAAACAAAAAAGAAAAUGAAUAGUUUUUUUUUUUUAGAUAUUUAGGUUAGUUUUGUUGUUGUUGUUUAUUAUAGGGUCAAAUACAAUUCGAGCUCAUGUAAAAUGUGGUCUCUCAAAUUUUAAUGAUUUUCUUGUUGUUUUCUUUUGUCUACUUUGGUAAUAUCAAUAAGGGUUUUUUCUUAACCAGUGUUCAAGAGGCACUUGUUGAUAUACCUAUAUCACACCUAACUUAUCAUGGAAAUAUACACACUAACAAUUAUUGCUUUAUAUAUAUAUAUAUAUUAAUUGACUUUAUUUUUAAAAAAUUUUGAAACAUAAACUAUAUUUUAAUGAAUGUCCCAUGAAAACAAUAAAAAAGUUAGACGGAUAUAAAGCUCCAGUUAAAUGCUUGACAACGUGUCCCUUGGAGGAAUAACUGUUUGAUACCUGUGCUAUGCUUAAGUGGAAGUGAUCAAUGAAAAGUUAAGCACCACAAAAAGCAAAAUCGGUGAAGCAUUACCAUAAUUUGUAGGAGGUCAUUAAAUUAAAGGAUUAAUUUUUUAUACACUUACAGUGUAUAUACUUUCAUUAUUAGAUGCAUGACAUAUAAUUCAAAUUUGAAUUUAAAACUCAAAUUUUACAUAUAUAUCGUACAUCUCAUUAUAAUAGUGUGUGCACCGUCAGUGUAUAUAAAAUUUACUCAAAAUUAAAUAUUCUAAAAAGCAGCAUUGACUCUUGUGGAAAAAUGAUGGAUUGAAAGGUUAAGCACCACACAAACAAAAGUAGUUAAGUAUUACCAUAACUCGUAAUUUGUAACUAAAUUACAUGCUCUAAACUGCAGGUUAAAUUAGUUCCACAGCAUAAGGGGACAAUAUUGUAUGGAAAAGUCCUUUUUUUUAAUUUUUUUUUUUUUUGUAAUAGAAGAGGAAUGAGAUUUAAGAAGCGAGGAGGAAGAAUAAGUAUUCAAAUUCAUGACCUCUAAGUUUUGAUAUUUCAACUUUAAGCACUAUAGCAAGACCUCUUCGACAGGUAAAAUCAGUUACGUAUACAUAUAUAGCUGUAUUUCGUGUUAAUUAUUUGAAAUUAUUCUCCUCCUAUUAAUACAUAUCUAUAAUUUUGGUCUAAGUGUUUGAUAAUUCAAACGUUUUACCUUGUAAACUGGGUUCAAUAAGUACCCCCAUAAAGUAAUUAACCGCGUGAAAGGUGAAACAUGAUGAUGUUUAAAGUUAAACUGUUAGCGGUGGUUUUACCUAAAUUUUUUUUUUUUUGGCAUCUAGGCAAAAGGGAUAAGAACGCACUAACUGUAAAUUAGGUGGCUAGUCAUAUUACAGUAAAAUGCACGAUAAUUGUGCGGUAAUUUAAAUUUUAUCUGUUGAGAAGCACGCUAUAAACUCAAAUUUCAUCUUUUUAACGUUUAAUGCAAGACUUAGACAAAUAUUCAUGGUUCAUGGCAGUCCUAAUUUAGACUUGCAACUUUUCACUUAUAUAAAAUCAAAAUGGACCCCUUUAUUAAUUUUCACUUGGGAACUGAUUUACUUACUUUAACUACAGGGAAUUGAUAUAGGUGGAAGAUCCCAUACAGCAAUUGUUUAAUCGUUUAUGGGAUUAUCGAAUCGAAAACAAAGUAUACUGCCACUCUUUGUCCCAGACUGCUGCAGCACUGAGCUAGUAUUUCCACCAAAAAUGGAUAAAUUACUUAUUACCUCCUAUAGUUUUAUAUAAUAUCAGAUGGCUUCUUAAAAUUUUAACAUAACCCUCCUAUCGUUUAUUAUAUAAAGUGAAAAAUGGACGGAAUAGACAAUCGAUUACAAUGUUUAUACCAAACGUGCUCUAAAAGUGUGUGUGAUAAAAUUUUAACAUCCAUGCGACCUCUUUAUGAUUUGUAUAAAUAUCCAUUUUAUCUCUCUGUGAUUUUUGCAUGAAUAAAUUCAUGUAAUCUCCUUAUGUUUUUAUACAAGGUGGUUAAACCGUCAAUUGAUUUAGCAUUUAAAUAAGGAUACUAUUAGUAUUUCAACUAACGGUGGAGUACAUAGGAUAUUUUUCAUCAAAUUUUCACUUUUCAUAAAAUUAUAGGGGGUGAAGUGGAUAUUUUGAAAUGUUAGAAAGAUCAUGUAAUAAUAGAUAAAACCACCACGGGGGAUUAUAUGUAAUUUACCCCUACAAAAUAAUGCUCCAACUAGUUAACCAAGUGACACAUUUUUCUUAUGUUGCGAUAAAAGUGUGAGACAAAGAGAUAAACACUAGGAGCAUCAUCUUUUGCAGUUCUCUAGAAAAGUCCACGUAAUUAAACUAUUGGCAGUUGUCAUUUGUUAAUUAACAGAAGUUGAUGUUUUACAUCUAUAAUUAAUUAUAUACGUAAUCAAACGAGUGAACCGGAAAAAUCUAAGUCGUAUUCCUUUUUCAGCACUACAUAUUUUUUUGGCUAAUUUUGUCAAACAUGAAUUACAAAAAAAAGGGUAAACAUAGAGCAUUAGAAGCAUCCGUUUGUUUAAAAGAAGUUACGAGUUAUAAUAUACACGAAUAGCUCAAUAACCAAAUGAUCCAUAUGGUAAUGUUAAUAAUUCCUUUAUCUCUUAAUCUCGAUUAGGAUAGCUUUUGAUUUUUUUUUCAUUUUUUUUUUAAAAAAAAUAUAAAUGACUGAGUCAUGAUUUAAGUAAUCACUAAAUUCGCAUCCUUCCAUCCUAAAAUGAAAAUCGCUUCAUAUAUAUAAGAUUGAAUAAUAAUGGUACAAAAUAAUAAAGGGUAUGCAUCAAAAGUGCAAAUUUGACGUGAAAGGUAUGAAUUCAGCCAAUUCCAAGUACUUAUAUUGAUAAAAAUCUAUGUCACUUUCCCUUAACCCUUUAAGGGUUUUCUCGUGCUUUGAAAAGUUCAUAUACUUCGUGAACCUUUUGAAUCAAGAGCAGAAACACAAUUUGGUUUUUAAUUAAUCUUGAUGUCAUCAAGAUUAAGAAAUAAAAAAAAAUUAAAAUGGCGCGUGAACUCCCAGCGCAUUUUGGUCAAAUUAUAAACCGUGACACGCAACUUUUCAUCUGAGUCCCUUUGUUGAAUUUCUUAGUUUUUGACAAUAAAAAUGGCCACUGCAUAAAAUGCUAAUUUUGACGGACCCUUCAACGGGGUAGAAUAUAACGUUUACCAGGAACAGCACGGUCAAAACGAAUCAUCAAAUCCAUAAUAAUUUCAGCCACAAAAAUUUAAAAUAGUGUACCAAAAAAUCUGUUAAAAUUGAAAGGACUUUGCAUAUUCAGUCUUGAUCAGAAGUUGAAAAUCUGUUAUUCAAUUUAUAGGGAGUUUAGUCACGGGGCUUAUUUUGUCAAGAUCUUGUGCUGAAGUUCAUGAGGGUUGAUCAGCCAAUUCGUCCAAUUUUUGGACCAAAAUUCUUAGUCCAUUUAUGUACUUUUGUACCUCUGUUUUUCUCAAUCAUUCAUUCAGUAGUUAGUUUGAGAAUAUUUUAUUCCUAGUCAAAAUUCUUCUUCGCCGGUUCAUCUAAUUCUUCAACCUACAUCACUAGAUAUCUUUAAUUCUUUUGACUGUUCAUACUUUUUCUUUGGCUGAUUACUAGUCAAUAUAUUUGAAUCUUGGGAUAGCAUCCAGUUCAUGCGAUUCUUAUUGAAUGGAAGUUUUCGUUUUUUUUUUUUUAUAAAAUAGAAGGAAGAAGGAAAUGGGAAAGGAGAACCGGAAAAUUCAAAUGAAACAGAAGGUCUUAGCAGUCGUUUGUAAUCAUUAAUUUACUUUUACAGAAAAGGAACUUAGAAAAUUGUAGACUUGUAGAAAUGUUCUAGAUUCAAUUUGAAUUGUUAUUGUAGACUUGUAAAACCAUUCUAGAUUCAAGUAAAAUUUUCUCGAUUCUCAAGCGAUGGAUAGGAUACUACGAGUUUUGCCUUUGCAAUUUGGAAGCAUAUUAAUACCAAAAAAAAAAAAAAUCUUAUAUACACUAACAGUGUAUACACUAUCAUGGUCAAAUACACGACACAUAUGCAAAAUUUGAGUUUCAAAUUCAAACUUGGAUUAUAUGCCACGCAUCCAAUGUUGAAAGAGUAUACACUGUCAGUGCAUAGAUGAUUAAUCUAAAAAAAAAAAAAAGCAAGUCACUUUGUAUUAUCAAUAUACGCAAUGAAUAAAGUAGAAUGUAAAUCUUAAUUUAAGAACAUAUUUAAACUCAGCUGGAUCAUACUCAUUAAAAAAUCUUGAGCCACUUUAAUGCAUCAAUUUUGUCGAAAACAACGGGAAAGUCGGCAAAUUUUCGAUAAGUGCAACCUUUAUUAAACGUAAAAAUACAAAGUUUCUAAUCCUCCUUUCAAAGAAGUAGUUAAAAUAUAUGAUAUAAUCCACAAGAACCGGUAAACGUUGAAUGAUGGAGGUAGGGACGGGACGGCGGUGCAAGGCGGCUUAUUUGCAGAACCCGGUAACCUCCCUGCCUUGCCCGGCCCCUAAUUAUUUAUUCCUCCAUCAUUUCUCUUUCCAAACAGACACGAAAAUGGUUAAAACUCCCUCUUUUUCCUCCUUAUACACUACCCAAGAUAAUGGUGAAAAAAAAAGAAUAACAUGUAGUGUAGUGUGGAUUUAUAUAGGCCCCUCGGGCACAGAUCCACUGGCUAUGGAUAACCUUAUUAGGCUUCAGGUCGUGUGGUCGAUUCUGCCUCUCCUACCGUCUCGUGUAUCCUUGAGGGCAGGGUGCACGGGUACAAGAAGAUUAGUCUGGCAAAAGUUGGGACAUUCCCUAUGUUGCCAAAAAAAAAAGAAAAAGUGUGGAUUUAUAUAGGAUGGCUUCCUAAUGUAUCUCCCAAUUCCAAUAUAAGAAGACGAGUUAUUUAAUUUCCUUUUUUGAUGAAACACCAUGCAUGAGAACAGAUAAUAGAUAAUUAAUCCUAACACUAGAAGAUGGCCCUUUUGGAUGAUAAAUAUCUUGGCUACUGACAUAUUCAGCACAAAUCAACCUUGGUGUCAUGGAGCCGGAGAUGGAAGCUGCAGCCUUUCAAUUUGACGUAAUGAUAUUUCACUUUGAUACAAGAAACCUAAGUUGUUUUGCUAAAAUUAGAUAAACAAAAAAGUGGCUUUAUUAUAUCUGUUAUCUAACUAUAAUUCGUUCUGACCGAUCACCUCACGAAUUGGCAAAUAAAUUAAGAGAAAUGUUAUUCGCACUCCAUUUUUUCUUAUUUGCAUUGUCACAAUUUGUUUUAUUAUAUGAUGUAAUAAAUGAAAACUGUAUAAUUAAAAUAAUAGUGGGAUUGUGAUUAACAAAAAUGAGAGUACAAAUAACAUUUCUCUGAAUUUAAAUGUGAACUAAUAUUAGCUUUUGUUGCCUUGAAGACCAUUGCUCAAACCAUUUUUCGUGCUGCUAUUAUAUUUCAAAUACAAAGGCUACAAGUCUACAUGACCUUACGCAUGGAUUUGACUUUAGGUGAUAAUGAAGAGGAAGCACGAGCGAGCAAGCAAAGAAAUGGAGAUAAGGUAUUCCGUGAUUAGUUUACCAGCUAAUAUCCAAUGUAACAGUUGAGCAAAUCCUGAUCUGAACCAAGACUUUUCUGCUUCUGACUUCCCUAAUUAAAUACUGCCCGGAAUCUCUCACUCGCAGUUUGCCCCAUCCUUAGAACUUUUUCUCAAGUUACAAGCACAUAGCAUCAUUUGACUCUGCUAAAUUUUAUUGAUUGUUUAAGGAAAGUCAAAUUUAUUAUUAGCUCUUAAAGGCAUUCUUUUUUUUUUUUAUGAGUACAAAAAAUUAUUACUUUCGUACUGUAUAAUUUAGGUUGUUAAUAACUCAUAAAAUAUGGAAAGAACAAAUUAUGAAUUGCUUUACAUGUUCUGAUGUUUUGUUGCAAAUUAAAGUAAAUAAGAGCGCAAUCUUUUUCUAUGAUAAAAUUACAUGCAUGAGUUAUAGCAAAGGUAACUGUAAUUUUCAGCUUUCCUGGAUCAUAAAUUGCAAAUUGCAUGAAUCCUAACAUCUCAAUGCUGCAAUCCCCCAUUAUUAUUUCGAAACGACAAGAUCAACAUGUGAUUUAGUUGACAUUGACGGGUCUAUUGAUGUUCUCAACACCAGCUUCGAUAUGUUGGGCACUUCAAUCCUCAGCACUUUCAUCCGCCGAAGACAGGAGGGGCCAGUGGCCAUCGGCUGCUGAUAAAAUCAUGUCUGAUGAGGACAAAAGUCUGUGCUUAUCAUCAGAUAAAAAGGGUUCAGGAAUUACCUAAAAACCAAAAAGUGGAGUCAUUUUGUUUCUCUAAUUGUCUAGCCACAGAACCAUCUAAUCUUAUUCGUGUUGGCUGACAGUCAUAUCUAUGAUCCGUAGACUUGGUAUUCAUGAAAUGUCUUAUAUCCAAUCAAAUUCCUCACAAAUGGAACUCUUACGCAUGCAACGUCCUUGCGCAUUAAAAAAGGACCCAGAAAUGCCAAUAGAGAAUUGUAUCUCCAUCUUCUAAGGCACGAUACACUGUUUAUUUUCACCCCGUAAUAGAAAAUCGAAAAAGAGAAAGCAGAAAAGUGUCAAGAAAGAAAAAAAAUACUACAACUUAGAUAUGUUUUCAUGUGUCAUAAUGUGCUUCCAAAAUCAUGUUUUAGCAUUUGAAAAGCACAUUUCUAGAUAGUAGAUAGUAUUUGCCCACAGGAAUUAGAACAAGGGGCUGCCUAGGUAUAUUACAAAGCAACAAAGUUGAUACGAAAAGUACUAAGAACACGUAUAUAUUUCGUUUUGAUAAAGUUAAACCAUGUUAGUAUAUAGUAUUUGUCCUUGAACUAAGCAACAAAAGUCUAUGUCCGUGGCAACAAGAAAAGUUAAAGAAGAAAGAGAGCAUAUGGUUAUGGGAAAAUGGGCAAUGGCAAGGGCAUAGGGAAUUGAGAAUUUGCUAUUCUUUUCUUUUCUUUUUCAAGAAUGGGGAAAGGACUAAAGAGGCUUUGGUGCAUAAUUUAUUUGUUAACAAACCGGCUGCCGAUAGUUGAAAAACUAGUUUAGCUGACCCAUGAAACAAGGGGUGUCCAUCCAUGAGUGUAUGUUUAGUCAAUCUCCAGGUGGAAUUCAAUAAAAAAAUCAAAAACUUUGAAUCUUAAACUAUGAGUGGAAAUGAAAAAAUUGAAAAAGCUGUUUCUGAUAUCUUCACACCUUGCUCCUCUUGGGUGCAUGCAAACUUGAACAGUGAUAAAUUUAUUAGCUGAUGUGAAACUCAACUAAUUAACAGGGUUCUCGUUUUCAUGUAAAAAUGAUGAUCAGUUUGGGCCAAAUUUGGUUUUUGAUUUUACCCAACGUGGAAAAGAGUUGAAAUUUUUUUCUUUUUAUAAAGAAAAAAAACAAAUUUUCUCUGCAAUUUCAAUCUCCAUCAGCAAGGAAUUAUCAUUCUUUUCUAGUGUACAAAGAAGCAUAAGGGCCUUUGAAAAGAUUACCAAUGGAAAUGACAGUGUGCACAUUUUUACACUCUAUUCUUGGCUUUUACUCUUUAACACGGCCCAUUAUUAUGGUAUAUCCUCUUCAACUCUUGAAUCUAGUAUCAUAUGCUACUAAACUCUUGUGACAUCUGCAACCUCCAUUAUUUAAAAAACUAAUUGUGCAUCUGUUUUCUAGUGUACAAGAAAGUAUAAUGUCCUUUCAAAAGAUACCAAAUCUAAAUGGUGAUAUGCAUAUGCUCAAUGACGGAGCCAGGAUUUUUUGCUUGGGGGGGCCAAAAUUUUUUUGAACAAAAUUAUUUUAAUAUGUUAUGUUUAAAAUAAUUUUCAUUUAUUUAAAUAUAUGACAUUUUAAAAUAUCAAAUAUUAAAUUUAAUUAUAAAGGUAUGUCUAUUUCAUAAAUAUGUAGCAUAGUCAUAACUAAAAUUAAGACAAGAAAUAACCUUUGAUUAAAUAUCUUAUAACAUCACAAACCACCUAAAUUGCACAUUAUGAGAAGAUACUCCAAUAUGUCACUUGUGCAAAAACAAAAAUAUAACUAUGCAAUAUAAAUAUAACUAUUUUCAAUUAAAAAGAGAUAAAAAUUAUGUUAACAUGCCUUGAAAUUUCAUCCUCUUUUAUUAAACGUAAAUUGAGCUUUACGUUCUUUCAUAGAACUAAAUUCAUCUAUAAUUGAAUCAAAGCUAAAUUUUCGAACAACUUCCUCUUUUUAUGUACAUUGUUAGGCAAUCAUUCAAGAAAUUAUCAUUUAUCUUGUUUUGGAGUUUUGUUUUGAUUAUCUUCAUAAUUGAAAAUAUCCAUUCUAUAGACUAUAGAACGAAGCCAGGAUUUUUUCCUUGGGAGGGGGGCCAAAAUUUUUUUUAACAAAAUUAUCUUAAUAUGUUAUAUUCAAAAUAAUUUCCAUCGAUUUAAAUAUAUGACAUCUUAAAAUAUCAAAUAUUAAAUUUAAUUAUAAAGGUAUGUCUAUUUUGUAAAUAUGCAGCAUAGUCAUAACAAAAAUUAGGACAAGAAAUAGCCUUUGAUUAAAUAUCUUAUAAUAUCACAAAUUAUCCAAAUUGUACAGUAUGAGAAGAUGAUCUAGCUAAUACGUCACUUGUGCAAAAACAAAAAUAUAACUAUGCAAUAUAAAUAUAACUAUAUUCAAUUAAAAAAAAGAUAAAAGUUAUGUUAGCAUACCUUGAAAUUUCAACCUCUUUUCUUAAAAGUAAACUAAGCUUUACAUUAUUUCAUAGAACUAAAUUCAUUUAUAAUUGAAUCAGUGUUAAAUUUUUGAACAACUUCCCUUUUUUAUGUAUAUUGUUAGAUAAUCAUUCAAGAAAUUAUCUUUUAUCUUGUUUUGGAGCUUUGGUUUGAUUAUACUUAUAAUUGAAAAUGUCCGUUCUAUAGUUGUAGCUGAUACAUGAAGAGUGAAAACAAAUAUAAUCAAUCUGUCAACAAUAGGAUAGAUCACUCAAUUUCUUGUCUUCACUAAGCCUUCAAGCAAUUAUUUGUAUAUGUGUCAACAAGAGGAUAAAUCACUAAUUUUAAUUUUUGUUUUAUCAAUUAGGGUAAGUUGUAUAUUUGUAUAUGGACCAAUAAAGUAAUUAUUUUUAUUUUAGCCAUUCAUAAUUAUGAAUUGAGUCUUUUAUUAUAAUAUAUCAAAUUGGGUCAAUUUACUAUGGAUCAUCAAAUUAUAUGUUUAAUUUUUUGAAUGUUAUAUAAUUAGCACAAUAAAAAAUAAAUAACUUUUUUGAAGAAAAAAAUUAAAUCAAAGGUGGCUAAUUCACACACACACACACACACACAUAUAUAUAUAUAAAAACUCUCAUAAUAUAAAUUAAAAUUGUAAAAAUUUAGGGGGGGUCAACUUUGUCUUAUACAUAUAUUUACAUACUAUGAAUUAAAAAUUUCAAAACUUAGGGGGGGCCAUGGCCCCCUCAGCCCCCCCUUGGCUCCGUCAUUGCAUAUGCUCACAAUCUAUUCUUGGCUUUACUUUUGAACAUGGUCCUACAUAUGUGGAAUAUUUUCUACUGAAUUCUUUACAUAUGUAUAUCUAUGCUGCUGAAUUCGUGCGACAUUUGCAAUCUUGAAUAUAUGCUAAUGCCGGAAUAGGAUUGAAGGACAUCUAUACUUGGGUAGAGGUAAGGUGUCAAAUGGUAUCCAAGCCAGAUUUUAUUGGUCAUCAAAAAGUAAAAAAAAAAACCAAAUGGUAAGCAUAUACUGGGAGUCAUCUUUGGUAUAAGGUGUAGUGACUAUAUAGCUAGGUAUCAUUAAGUAAUUUAUUCAAUUAAAAUAAACUAAGUUGAUCUAUUCUCCUAAAAAUAAAAACGAAGUUUGAUGUUGUAUUAACUCAUUUUGUGUAUUACAUAGCUAUUUUGUAAACCCUGUAAUUGGUGCAGCAAAACAUUCAAGCCUCAUGUCCAGCUGAAUUUCGAUUAUUUGAUUGGGAUAAUUAGAUUAUGAUGAUAAAUUCUUGGAUUCAAUUCUAUGCAAUAUGUCCUGCGUACAAUUUUGUGACUCACAGAGAAGUGAAAACCCCAUAGUCCAUAGCAACCACAAAUAUGCUUAUAAUUCAAGAGCAUCGUAUAGAUGCUUAUAAUAAGUACUUUUCUUCGGAGGGUUCUUCAAUAACCUAUGUAGUUCUUUCACAUCAAUAGCUUGCAACAAGUGAUAGACUCCACUAUUACCCCAUCUAGAAAAAGUUGAAAAUUAAAAUUAAGUGGUGAAAUAAUUAGCUAUUCUAAUUUCUUCCACAGAGUACAUAUGUUGCAUCAAAUUUUUUUUUUUUCAGAAACAAAAGAAAAAUGUCCACAAAUUCGACAGAAAUUCAUCUUAAAUGUAGGCAAGAAAUUGAGGUUUCUUUCGCUUAAGUUGAAUUUUCUUGGAUAAGUGUUCAAGUUUAGUGUCUCUUUAUAUACGUCCUUAUGGCUAUCCUAAAUUAGUUAGUGAAAUUUAAUGGAAUCUAUGUGAAUUUGCACGAGGAGCCCGCUGAAAGUGAAAGGGCUAAUGAACCUUUAUUUUCUUUGGAUGAAACCAAGUCAAAUGGACUAGAGUUUUGAUGCUUUUUGCAAGCAUCAAUUAUUGUGACAAAGGCACAAUAUUCUUUUGAGGUGUAAAUAAAUUUUUGAUGGAUUAAUGCACCCAUUCUUUUUCUUCCUUUUGAGUUGGUUGUCAGUUCAGACUUGGUAUUUUUUGACCUCACAACAGAUUGAAAGAGUCCAAAAGUAUCUUGUAGUCAUUAAUUUGAUGCAUAUGAAGAAAUUGUGUGAUGGAUAUGCUUUCGCCUAAUUAAUUUGCAUGAAAUUAGAUUUUUGAACUAGUCAACAGAAAAUAAAUCACUGUUAUGUCUGGUGAAUAUAAAACAGCGAUUUUAAUUAUACGAAAAAACUGGAUCACAAAUUCAUGAUUUGGGCACUAAUUCUUUCUUUCUUUUUUUUUUAGGGAAGAAAAGCAAACAGGAAAAGGUAUACCACCAAACAGAAAUAUCAUGCUCAUUCUUGGGUGAAAAAAAAGAAUUACAAUGACCUUGGACUUGGUGCAAGUGUGUGUAGAAGCCUAUUUCUUGUGCUGAUUGUUACUAUUCCAUGUACUUCUGCUGAAAAUUUGCCGACCAUUUUCUUGUGCAUUGGAGAACUAGGAAGAAUUGAAAAGUUUGACGAACAAUUAAUUAAUUUGCCAUACACAGUGCUUUAGACUUCAGCUAAAAGGUGAAUACCAAUGUUUGUGGUUGAAAUGCAUGAAUACUCAAUAGCUAUCUUUUCAAGAAUUCAAGUACGUUGGUCCUUAUGUUUUUUUUUUUUCUUUGCGAGGAACAAAUGCUUCACAAUCGGUCCCUUAAUUACGCGAUCUUGGAACAAGAAUUUUGGUGUAAUACAUCGUUUUCUUAGACAAGUUGGAUGAUAACAAACUCAGUCAUUGCCAACUCUUGAUUAAGUCAUAAGCCGAAAGUAUUGCUAAAAACAUACUUGGUAAUUGCUUGGAAUGAUAGCGAACCAUGGAAGAACCUGCCCUCUUACUCCUAUGGGGAUGACAACAGAUCCACCAAAUCGCCAAUCAUUUAUUCAACCUUCAAACAUUAGUUUGAAUUUCUAUUCUUUACUGAAUAUUGAGCCAGCAUAUUGCUGACUAGUAUUUUUUUUGUUACUUAAAUCAAUUUUCUAUGGUUACAUUUUUUUAGGUAUGUAAUUCGUGAGUAUCAAAUAAGUCAUCACUAAAAUCUAUUUUCAUCAACCACGAUAUAGUUUGAAUAACUCGUAGCCAGAUAUUGUUGUUUAUACCAAACGGUUCAAACCCGUUUGGUUAGCAUGAUUUGUUAAAAAACAAUUUUUAAUAUUAUGUAACUCAAUUUUCAAUUGCUUUUUUAUCUCAUGCAUAUCAUAUCACAAAAAGUGCUAUAAUAUUAUUUUAAAUAUUUUUUUUGCAAAUAAAUCUCCUGUCCAAAGAAAUUAAUAAACCGACCAUACCAUCAAUCUUAUCUUGGUCAGUACAUUGUCGUAUUAAUAAAACAACUGGUCCGCAUACAUGUUUUAUCAACUCCCCUACAUGAUAUUUGAGUGGAAAAAAAGCAGCUAGGGUAAAUAUUUAAAUCAAAUGUCGAAUCAACUACUACAAUUUUGUCCUUUUAUUUGAUCUUUUCUUAUGCCACCAAUUCAAAUAAAAUAAUAACAGCUUUGACUUUUCUAGAACUGAUUAAUCAACUAACCGACCCUCUGUUUUCUGGUACGAAUUAGCCUAUAACUUAAGUAGGACCCUACUUAGAAAACGUUAUACUUAUACAUACCACGCUAUACAGACGUACCUAUUUUAUUGAUUACAGCUAAGAUUAAGAUAAUUUUAAUCGGCAAAUGAUGUCAAAGAGCAAUUGGGAUGUUGAUUCAGGGAGAUAAAUUAUUUAUACAAUCCAAAAAAGAUAGAACAAAAGGGAUCUCACGGAGCUAAUUGUUGUUUAGUUGGUAGUAAUCUUCCUGUGUGAACCAUAGAAAGUUCAGUAGCAGCCGCUAAUGGAACCUAAAAGAGAAUUAAGUUCUAGAUAAUGUCCUCAAUUAUUUUUAAUUGUUGAUUUAUAUCAUGAUUAAAAGCCUGUUUGAUCAGAAUUCUGAUACUGUGGCACAUGUCACUAAUGGCGAAUUAUGUACAUCAUAGUUUAUGAUCCACCGACUUGCAAGAAUCCAAGACUCUUUCACCUCUGAUUGGUAUUGAUUAAUUACUGAUCUCAGUGCAUGAUUAUGACACUCAAAAUGAUUAAUGUAACUUUGAACAAUUUCUAGCAAUUUCUGGUGUCCGAAAGGCAAAUUUUGGUGCAGGUCUUUUUAUGGAAGCCGCCCCGCUAGUUAAGAGUCCUAAGCACGCAAGCAAACAAACUAUCUGGUCAAAAUGCAGCAUGGCCAUUAAUUCUUUCUUGAUCGAUCUAUUAUUCCAAAUAAACAAACAUGUUAUAUAAGCUAUUUGGAGUGAGCUCUCACUACAGUACUAAGCAAGAGUGAUUUUUUUUUUUUACUGAGAAUAGAUUUGAAAUGAACAGUUAAUGUUUCAAUAAUUUACAAGUUGUUAGGUUUAGCGUUCAAAUCCUGUAUCGAACAGUUGAAAAUGGAGAAGAUGUGUGGAAUGGUGGGAGGUCAAAAAAAAAAAAAGUUAAGAACAAAGUUGCUUAACUUACCCGGAAAAAAAUAUUUACAAGUUGUUUUCAACUUGGACUAAUCUUCUUUUGACCAUGGAAGAGAAUGUGGUAUAUUUCGCCUCGUUUGACUAAUAAAUAUUUUAAAUGAUUGGUUGGUGUUCCCAGUUUUUUUUCACACUAGGCCAAAUUAUGCAUACAUUGAACAAAUUGAUUUAAUUCAAACAUGGAGUACUAGGAUAUGAUCCAUAGAUACGAUGUUUAAUAAGCUCAAUAUUCGUUUGUAAUUCCAACAUGCCCUAAUUAACAGUGUUUGAAAAACAUAUCGUAAACUUUGUUUCCAUUUUUUUUUAUAUAUAAUUUAACUGGUUGUGAACAUAAAUCAUAAAAUCUAAACAACCAAGAAUAUCUUUUAGUCAACCCCAGUAAUUAUGUCCAAAAGUUCUUAUCAUCAUGAGAGAGAUGGUAAAUUAUACACUGAAUCAUGGACCAUGUCCAUGUUAUCAUUUUACUUUUUCUAAGCAUUUUAAACUUAAUUAAUCUUUACCUUAUCGUAGGUUGGGUUAAGUAAUUUCAUAGUGAAUCAUUUAAUUGGGACAUUUCUUAGUGCCAAAAGAGAAAAAAAAAACAUGAUAAAUAUGCCAAGUUGUGACUUCUGAGUCUAAAGGCCGGAAUGGGGUAAUUCCUUGGAGGACUGCUGCUCUUAAUAUAUAUUAGUCAAUACACCAUCAAAUCCAUUGACUAGAUUAACUGUUUGAUGAGUAAUUGACUAAUGAAUUUAAACGAUGAUAGCAAGAUUAGGGUACUAGUACACUAUUCAUUUCAGAAAACGGGGAACUUAUGCUUGCUAUUUUUCAAACUAUUAGAUCUUUUGGUGUUUGUUUAGAUGUUGACAAGUCUUAUGAGAUGAAUGUUCACACCCUUAAGGCUUCAAUGUUUACCGGCAUUGGAAACUCUAUUACAAAAUUGUCACCAAUAAUAUGGCAAUCUGUCUCUCUAGAGUAAAGCAUGCAUGCAAGUAAAAUUGAAGCCAGGAUUUAAUAAGUAGCACAAAGAUUGAAAUUGGAAAUCAUGCAAUUCACGUAAUGAAACCCUUUGCAACGUUUGCUUGAAGCUUCUCAAUCAUUCGGCAGAUGGUUAAUGAUUGUGCAAAUAAAAAUGUUGCAAGAAAUUUCAACUUUUUAUGUACCAAAAGGGGAUGAAAAAUAAUCGAUUCCUUCAAAACAAACAGUUACAAAGAAAACCUACCAAAAAAAGAAAUGUCAAUAGUAACAAUCGAGUCAUGGGCAUAUCUUUACAAACAAGUCAUAGGUUUGUCGCAUUACGCUGCCUUAACUCGAUCAAUACGUACCCAAACUGAGAACAGGUUUAUGUUGAAAACACAGAAGCCACUCUGAACUUUCAGCAAUUUUGUGCUUAUCCAAUGAAAACCAAAACAUAAUUAGGAAAUCAGGAAAUCAGAUUACAGUAUUACACACAGAUCCUCUUAACAUCACUAUAACACUCCUCCCUAGCAAUAUAUUCUUGGAACUCUACAAAUACAUGCUAUAUCAAAAUUUUGGUAGGGAUCCCCCACUCCACCAACAUCCUCCAAUGCUCCUUAGUCCUAGGAAUCUUACCCCAAGAAACGGCAGAAAAGUGUCGAAAAAAUUAAACAACACUGACAACCUGGAUCUGUUUCCAUGUGUCAUAUAUGUUCAGUAUAGCUUGUAAUGUGCUUCCAAAAUUAUGUUGUGGCAUUUUAAAAACACAUUUCUAUAAAUUAUUUAUCCACAGGAAUUAGAACCAACAGGCUGAUUAGGCAAUAAUAUAUAUAAUAAAGUUGCAUUGAUGGUUUCGCCUGCCACAUACUAAAAGUACUAAGAGUACAUAUACAUUUUGUUUUGAUAAUAAACCACAUUAGUAUGUACUAGUAUUUGUCGUUGAACUAAGAAGCAGCAAUGCAUGUCUCUGGCAACAAGAAAAUUUAAAGAAAGAAGAAAGAGAGAAUAUGGUUAUGGGGACAUGGGCAACGGCAAGGGUAUUGGGAGUUGAGAACUUUCUUUUCUUUUUCAAGCAUGGGGAAAAGAGAUUUUGGUGCAUGAAUUAUUUGUUAAUUAAGCGGCUGCUGAUGUUUAAGAUAGUUUUAAAACAUUCUUUUAGCCGUUCCAUGAAACAAGGGGUAUCAAACUAUAUAUGUGUGUUCAAGUAGUCAACGUGUAAGUGGAAUUCAAUUUGGAGGAUGAAUACGGAAUCAACUAUAAAUUUUUUUCAAUAAAAUUCAGAAAUAAUGAUCAGUUUGGUACAAAUUCGAUUUUGUUUUUAUCCCAGACGGAAAAGGAUUAAAAUUUGUUCUCGUUGGUAAGAAGAAACCAAAUUAGAAUAGCUAUAUGCAUAUCCUUACAAUUACAAUCUAUUCUUGACUUUACUUUUUAACACUGUCCUAUACAUGUGGAAUAACCUCUCAACCCUCCCUUGAAUCUAGAAAUAUCUGCUACUGAAUUCGUGUGACAUUUGCAAUCUCAAUUAUUCGCUUGGUCCUUCAUUUUUGACACUGAGAAGGGAAAAUUGACUUCUUCCUUUAACUGAUGUUACAGGUUGAAUGCUAGGCUACAAUGAUAGUAUCCUGUACCUGAAUCGAGAAUUGAAGGACAUAGAGUUCGGUGAAUGGUGGGUGACCAAAUGGUAUCCAAGGCACAAAUUAUGGGUGAAAAAUGCAUUAGAACGAAAUGAUUCGCAUUUAUACUGGGAGGCAUCUUCUAAAAUUCUGAAAGGGAAAUGGAAUUAUCCUAAGUUCUAAUAUGCUAAUUUAUAAUCGAUCCAACACGCUGUCUGUAAGAUGUAGUAAAUGCAUACGGAUCAUCCUAAGUUUCAUCUUUCGAGGUUCUUUAUCGUAUUAACACUUGAUAGACUCCACUAUUACCCCAUCUAGAAAAAGUUGAAAAUUAAAAUUAAGUAGCUAUUCUUAGUUCUUCCACAGAUUAGAUAGAUAUGUUGCAUCACAUUUUUUUUUUCAGAAACAAGAGAGAAAAGUAAUCCACAAAUUCUGCAGAUCUUAAAUGUGGGCGAGAAAUUGAAGUUUCUUUUGCUUAAGUUGAAUUUUCUUGGAUAAGUGUUGAAGAUUAGUGUCUCCUUACAUAUAUAUAUGAACAUGGAGUAAUUAAAGGAAGGUUCCAUGCACCUUUUUUUGACGAUUAUGGCUAUCAUUGAUUCAGAACCAAAAUUAGUUAGUGAAAUUUAAUGGGGUCUACGUGUGUUUGCACGAUGAGCCCGCUGAAAGUGAAAGGGCUAAUGAAUCUUUAUUUUCUUUGAUAGAAAACAAAUCGAAUGGAGUGGAGUUAUGAUGCUUUUUUCAAGCAUCAAUUAUUGUCACAAAGGCAGAAUAUUUUUUUUUUGAGGUGUAAAUAAAUUGUUGAUGCAUUAAUGUACCCAUUCUUUUUCUUCUUUUUUAGUUGGUUGUCAGUUCACAGUUGAUAUUUUCAACCUCACAACAGGUUGAAAGAGUCUUAAAAGUGUCUUGCAGUCAUUAAUUUGAAGCACAUAUAAGAAGAAGUUGUGUGAUGGAUAUGGUUUCGCAUAAUUGAUUUGAUUGGAAUUAAAUUUGAACUAGUCAAGAGUUAAUAAAUCAUCUUUAUGUCUGGCGAAUAUGGGACAACUAUUUUAUAAAAAAAAAAAAAAAAAACUGGAUCACUAAUUCAUGAUUUGGACAGUAAUUCUUUUUUGAUUAUUUUCUAGGGAAGAAAAGGGUACAGAAAAAAAAAAAA